GACUUAUCUUAGUACAACGAAUCUAGAUAGGCUUUAGAAUGUGUCACAUCCAACCAAAAUACCUUAUAUUUAGGGACGAAAUGAGUACUUUUUUCACCCAUCAUUUUUUUUCCUAUCACAUGUCCUUUUGCUACUUUAUUAAUUUUAAAAAAGGUAUAAUCCUCUAUAUAAUAAGAUGAAAUGAGUACUUAAUUAAUCAUAUGCUAAUAAUAUUUCUUGUUUGGUGUGCUCUGGAAAUCUCCCUCCAAACCGAGGAAACGAACUAGCCCUAGGCUAUGUUCUUUUUUCCGAGUUACCAACUUCUACUCCUUUAUUUUUUGCGCGCACGUGUUUUUUAAAAAUUUUCUAUAGAAAAGUUGCUUUAGAAAAUCAUACUAAUGUAUUUUUUAUGUUUUUUAGCUAAUACAUAAUUAAUUAUGUAGUAAACCAUCCAUACCUCCGAACUAGUUAACUUCACUCCACAUCUCAUCAAGGUCAAAAUAGAGAAAAACAGAGUAAUUCAUACUCCCUCCAUUCAUAAAUACUUGCUUGAUACUAUUUGCACUUUGAUAUAAAUAGAGUAAAUUUUAUAAAACUACAAAUAUUUUCAUCAAACUAUUGCAAAACUAUAGAUUUAAGAUGUUAUAUAAAAAAACUACAAGUUUAGUGUUAAGUUUAUCACAAAACUAUAGAUUAAGUAGCAAAUUUAUCAUAAAACUAAAGGUUUAGUGUUUAUUUAAUCAUAAAACUGCAACGUUUAUAGCUCAAACAUAUUGAUAGUGCUAAGGAUUUGACCUCUAAAUUCUGUAGUUCUGUGAUAACUUCGAUAUUAAAUAUAUAGUUAUGUGAUACUUGGCUUUAAAUCUGUAGUUUUUUUUGAUAAAUUUUACGCUAAAUUUGUUGUUUUGUGAUACAAUGCAUUAAAUAUGUAGUUUUAUGAUAGUUUGAUCAAUAUAUAUAUAUAUAUAUAUAUAUAUAUAUAUAUAUAUAUAUAUAUAUAUAUAUAUAGUUUUGUGAAUUUUAUUAGGAGAAGUUUUGUGAAAUUUACUCAUCUAAAUAAUUGCUUGAUACUAUUUCUAUUUUGAUCACGAUCUGUUCACAAACAAAUUUAAAUAUCUGAAAAGAUGUUUUAUUAUUAAAGCGUGUUGCAUGCUAACAUUAAUAUUACUAGUUGAUACCAUGCGCUUUGUUACGAGAUAUGUAGAUGAAUACAUGUUAUACAUUAUAGAAAUGGUAAAUGUAUAUCUUUAAAUAAUCUGGAAAUGAUGUGAAGAUAAUAAUUUGACAUUGCUUGCAUAUUGAGUUCUAAAAAAUUCAACAAAAUUGUAAAUGAUAUGUCAUGUUUGCAUGAUAUUUAAAAUACUCUAGAUAAUAAUUAUUAGUGGAUGAUAAUAUGACAUACUUGCAUAUUGAGUUUUAGAAGUUAGUGAGCACCAACUAUAUAGUAAGAUAGAUUUGUCAAUCAUAGUAGUCUAACCGUAUAAAAAGUCAUCGUUAGUGGCCAAGUUGAAUUUAACGAUGGAUAAUGAAAUAUUUGAGAUCAAGGUUUUUAAAAUGAUCCACAUUAGAUAUUGCAAAGUUUUAUUUGAUAUAGUGCAAAGUUUUAUUUUGAUAUAGCAUAACAAAAAUUACAACAUUACAACACAGUAAGGUUAAAAAAAACAUAACAAACAUGCCAUCAUCACAAGUGUUGUCAUCCACACCAACCACCGAGUGCACUAGUUGUCACGCCCACCUGCCAUGCCGGCUGCCCAGCACUGCCUCCCACUAUUGUCGCCACCGGCGAGGUCGGCCAUCCAUUAAUUGUCGUUGGCCUGACCACGCCAGCCUCCCAUUGCCCCCGCCGUUUGACCCUAGUCAUAUUUGACGUGGAGAUGAUGGACUAGGGACACCCCAUCAGAUCAGUCGUGAUGAUGUUGUAUCAGCAACCCCAUACUAAUGGUUCACCACUGUAGCCUCUCCUGGCUUGCCAAGCUCCACACCGCCUCACCCGCACAAGAGGUGAAGCGUAUCGGGGUUGGUUUAGCCUCGUCGCCACCAUCAUGACUCACCGCUAGGUUCUCUAGGCAGUGUGCUCCGACAACGGUGAGGUGGAGAAGAGGAGAGAUGAGAGGGCUCUCAAGCCGCCCGCAGCCUGCACGAGGACGACGCGUGGUGAGUCCGAUGCUGUUUCACUGUAACAGACAAGGAUAUUCUUUUAAUAAAAACUCCGCUUAUAUCUACUAGCAAUAAGUGCAGAUUGCCCUGGAGGAUAGUGCAUACUCCCUCUGUCCCAAAAAAAGCAACAUAGGAGGGGAUGUGACCCUCUUUUAGUACCACGAAUCUGGACAGAGGGUUGUCUAGAUUCGUUAUAUUAGGAGAGCUGGUUGUCUUUUUAGGGACGGAGGGAGUAAGAAUUAGGAAACGUCUUUAGGUCCUGUUUAGAUUCCGCCCCAAAAUUUUUCACCCUGUCACAUCGAACGUUUAACACCUAUAUAAAGUAUUAAAUAUAGGCUAAAAAAUAACUAAUUGCACAUAUUGCGACUAAUUUGCGAGACAAAUCUUUUAAGUAUAAUUGCUCCAUGAUUUGACAAUACGGUGCUACAGUAAACAUUUGCUAAUGAUGGAUUAAUUAGGCUUAAUAAAUUUGUCUCGCGGUUUACUGACGGAUUCUACAGUUAGUUUUUUUAUUAGUGUCUGAACACUCCAUACGAUACCAUAUAUAAUAUACGAUGUGACAUUCUAAAACUUUACCGCCGUGUAUCUAAACACCCCCUAGUCAGCAACUCCUAUCCACUAGCAGUCCAAUUAAUUUUCUCUGUGAUCCGGUGCCCUCUGACCCGCAACUUCCUUUUGGCACUAAACUCGUCUUAUCCGCAUGAUUGUUGACUAUAGUAUGUAGAUUGGCAUUGGAAGAUACUACGAUUGUAUAGAUUGACGACUUUACCUAAUACAUCACCCGUUUCAAACUUUAAGCGUUUUUAGUUUCUUUAGCGAAACGAAAGGUAGAGAGAAAAUAUUCUCUUUUAUAGUUAUUUUAGUCGUUAAAUUCUUUCCUAACAUCUUAGUGACGGGAAAUAUAUAGAUUUCCAUUCAUUAGAAUAUAUAUUUUAAAAAAUAUAUUACGGUAUAAAUAUCAAAACUCUACCGAUACUUAUAUUUUAGAAUAAUAAAGGAAGUUAUUUUUUUCCGAGCAAAUACAAAUGCUUAUGAGCACACCUGCGAAUGUGUCAUCUAGCGUAUACUCAUUUUUAUCAAAAAAAAAAAACAAUAUAGUAUGUUCAAAUACGUUGUACUAGAAUACUAGAUUAAGUAUUUUUAUAGAUGAAGUAUUUGUUCUGGUUAUCGAGAAAAUGCUUUGAUGACUAAUCAUAUGGAUAGAGGUGUAAUUUUAGCUUUUUUAUUUGUGACGUACUCCAUCCGUCGAAUAAAUAUCAACAUAAAACUGAUAUGUCACAUUAGUAUUAAUAUUAGAAGCAGUUCUCGUUUUGGAUGGAGGGAGUAUUAAUUUUGGCAUGCUUGCGGAUAGGCACAAAGAAACAGGGACGGUUUAUACUUGAUAAGCAGCGGCGGAAGCCCCCACGAUUUUCAGAAUUUGCCCUCCUCACUUCUAUACUUCAAUCCCCUUCCUUUAUUUUUUUUUUUGGGAGGGGCCGAGGCAACCGUCGCCACUCCGACGAUCCCGUCCCAUCCGCCGCCGCCGCCGGAGAUUUCCUCGAGGUAAGCCCUACCCCGCUCCUCUCCAGCCUCUCUCCCCUUCGGCGGGCGCCCAGCCCGAGCCCCGACCUCGAUUUCUUGGAAUUUCUUGGCGAGCGUUUGUUUCUUGGGGUUUCCUCUAGAUUUUUUCUUUUUUUUAUUAUUUUGGGGACGGAUUUAGCUCUCGUGGAGGAGAUUGGGCGGAUAAUUUCGUCGGAGGGGGGAGGGGGAGGGGGAUGUUGGAAUCGGGUGGUGGGUAAUUUCGUCGAUUCUCCGGUCCUUUUCCUUGAGUUUAGCCUGGGAAUUGCGGUUGGUUCUUGGACGCGGUUUGAGUUCUUGGUUUUUUCCACUUUCUGUGCGGACAGAUUUAGGGCUUGCGCUUUGCGAGUGGGGGUAAAAUUCGAUGGUGUGCUGUUCCAGCUUUGUCCACAUACUGCUUGGAAAUUUCAGGAGGUUUUUUCAGUCAAGUCAAGCACAUCUUUUUUGCUAGACUAGGCCAUGAGAUGGAGGUUAACGUCGAACUGUACCCACCUCAGCUAAAAAUAAUAAUAAUUCUCAACAACAGUAUCCAAGUGGCUGUAUUGUUUAUUCUUGUUUAGUUAUGACGCAGAUGAAUACUACUCGCUAAAGAUUGUGACUUUCUUAGUUGUCACCUCGUCGUGUGGAGCCCUGUGGGUUCUUGCUCUUGACUUUUAUCAAACAAUGAUUGCUUGGCAAGUGUCUUGUUUGAUUCGUCUGCCCUUUGGCUUGCAUCGCCAGAGUUUGCUGGCUUGCGCUGGCAUUUAAUCAAAAGUAUAAUCAUUCCCCCAAGUAUAAUCAGGAUUAGCAUAAUCUUUAGCUUCAACUAUUUAUAUGAUAUAUUUGGCUUGUCUGUAGUCUGUAGUGGCCAAGAACAUCCUGAAGCAGAUUUAUCCUAUCAGGCUAUCAGCACUAAGUUGAUCGGCACGUAUAGGUUUUCUUUUGCGUCAUUCUUUUUCAUUACUGCAUUUCUAUGGUGAAUUGUUUUCUUUUCUUUUGUAUGGCUACAUCUAUUACCCUGUUGACUUCUGUGAGCCUGUGAUGUACUCCCUCCGGGCUGAUAAUACUUGUCAUUUUGGACAAGCGCACGGUCUUCAAAAAACAACUUUGACCAUUAUUUCCUAUUAUAAUAUGUAAAAAAGUGUUAACAAAUAUAUGAUCAUAUUAAAGUACUUUUUAAGACCAAUCUAUAUAUGUAGUCACCAUAUUUGAAAGACAAAUAUUUUAAAAAUGAUUUAUAUAAUCAAAUAUUCUAAAGUUUGACCUCACCCUUGUCCAAAACGACAAGUAUUAUCAGCCCGGAGGGAGUAGUAAUCUUAGGCAUUUUUCAGGGAAUGAUUACACAGUAUAAGUUUGAGUAAUGUGUUAUCAUGAUAUGCUUUUCAACAAGAUAUACAUAUUUUUUGCAACACUGUUUGGUCUAAGUUAUCUGAAAUUGCAAUUGCUUGACUUUUCAUUUGGGAUGCGUUGGGCAAUCUAUUGUCCUGACAUACAUUCAUCUUCAUUUGAAGCCAUGGCUUUAUCUUUUUUAAUUCAUAUCUUUUGUUUCUGUUUGUAUGUACUAAAAACUUGAAAUAUGAAUUUCCAUUGGAGAAGUUAACACCAACGGAGUAUAAGCAAGAUUAUGGCAAAACAUUCAGUUGUUAGUUGUUUCGUUAGCAUAUGGCACCAUUUGUAAUUCUGCAUUUCUUCCUUUCUAGAUAAGCCAUGGGUCAAGCACUCGGUUUGGUACAAGUAGAUCAAUCGACAGUAGCCAUCAAGGAGUCCUUUGGGAAGUUUGAUGAGGUUCUUGAGCCUGGAUGCCACUUUUUACCCUGGUGCAUAGGGAAGCAGAUCGCUGGAUAUCUUUCCUUGCGUGUGCAGCAGCUGGAUGUCCGUUGUGAAACAAAGACUAAGGUUCCCCAGUUUAUUUUCUUAACUCUGGUUUCUUUUAUAUUUCAUGGCAAGUGUCUGGAGCAAUUGUCAGGCAUGAUAAAAAAUGGUUCUCAAAAUUCUUGCAUUUUGUUCCAUUCGUUUACUCCUUUAUGAUAACAUACUGAUGAUGGUUAUGUGCACAUAUCUCUGUUUUCCUUAUUCUUCACUUACACUAAUGCAUGAUGCAUCAAAGAAUAAACCCACCUUUUCUGAGCUCUCUGACGAUGUAUACCAUUUUGUGGAUAUCUGCAGGACAAUGUUUUUGUCAAUGUUGUGGCAUCUGUGCAAUACCGUGCUCUUGCUGAGAAGGCAUCAGACGCCUUUUACAGGCUUAGCAACACCAGGGAGCAAAUCCAGUCGUAUGUUUUUGAUGGUAAGGUUCCUGUAUGCUGUGAACAUUCAUGCAUCCGAUGCAUUUGCAGUUCAUACUCUUCUGAUUACCUUCUCUAUGUUUUGCCUCUAUUGUUCAAUGCUAACAGAACUUUCUUCCUCGCAGUGAUCAGGGCUAGUGUUCCAAAGAUGAACUUGGAUGAUGCAUUUGAGCAGAAGAAUGAGAUCGCAAAAGCUGUGGAAGAUGAGCUUGAAAAGGUUUGUGUUCAAUAAUUGGUGGUCAUCUAGAGCAUAGUGGAGUUUUAUACUGACCUAGUAUAUACUCUGUAGGCAAUGUCAAUGUAUGGUUAUGAGAUUGUGCAAACUCUUAUUGUUGAUAUUGAACCAGAUGAGCAUGUUAAGAGAGCAAUGAAUGAAAUCAACGCAGGUAAGUAUUAAUUAAAACAUCAAUUCAUUCCAUUUCUUCAGAGACAUUAUUUGGCUUGGUGUUUAUGCUUGACAUUUGAGCUUGCAUUGGAAACAAUUUUCUCCUGUUUAGACAUGAAAAUGUUAAAUUCUCUUUCCGAGAAACAAAACCAUGUUUAUAUUGUCUAGUUUUAUUCAAGUUUUAUACUGAAACACUGAAAAUUGUUGCCACAAAUAUUUUUAGGCUUUCAACACAGUAACACUGUAAGUUAUAUAUAGAUGGAACACUGAAAAGUUAUAUAUAGAUGUACAUAACAUAUUAUGAAUAUUAACUUCGUGAAUACUUGCACCAUAACAGUCAUAAGUAACACAGGCACAUGUAACUGCAACCUAUUGAUUACAUUGUGUGCAACAAAAAAUGUGUUGGUCAACUAGUCAAGUAAAUAUUUCGUGCUUUUUAAGGGCCUGCAACAUAUAUGUUUGGUUGGUCUGGUGUUUUUCUAAAGAUGAGCUGUAUGGCUGUAAAUGUGCUGGACGGCAACAUAGUUUUAACUGCUGUUAUUUGAUGAUACAGCUGCUAGGCUGAGGGUGGCAGCCAAUGAGAAAGCUGAAGCAGAGAAGAUUCUUCAGAUCAAGAGAGCUGAAGGAGAUGCAGAAUCCAAGUACUUGGCUGGUCUGGGUAUCGCAAGGCAGCGUCAGGCUAUAGUGGAUGGGCUGAGAGACAGUGUUCUUGCCUUCUCCGAGAACGUGCCUGGGACCUCUGCCAAGGAUGUCAUGGAUAUGGUUCUGGUUACGCAAUACUUCGACACCAUGAAGGAGAUAGGAGCCUCAUCCAAGUCCUCUUCAGUGUUCAUCCCUCACGGGCCAGGUGCCGUCAAAGAUAUCGCUGCGCAGAUAAGAGAUGGUCAGCUCCAGGCCAAAUUGAUCUAAGAGGAUGGCAGGGAAUGGAUGUUCUGGAUUUCUUGGGCAUUACGAAAGUCUGCAGUAAUACCUUAUCUACGUAUUCGAUAUUUUGUGAGAUAAAAACUUAGGCAAAAGAAGUUCUAUUGUAAGUAUCACAUGCACGCGUGCUUCAGUACCGUUUGUUCAUAGUAAUUCCUGAGGUUAUUUCCCUAGACGAGUGUCAAUAUACUUCUUGAAUUGCAUGUUUCUGUAAAUAAUUCCUAAGUGUUACCGGGCUGUUUGGAAUUAUUUGCAUGUUGAUGUUAGUGACCUUAAGUAAUGUCCCAUCUUAUUAUGUGAUGUCAUGAUGAUUUCCAGAAUGCUAGAGUUUAAUACUGCUUGUGGAGAAAUAUCAAAUACUCCCUCCGUUUUGAGAUUACCUGUCGUUCUUGCUGCUUUGUCCUAAGUUAUACUUUUUUGUAGCUUUGACCAUUAAUUUUUAAAAAUUCGUUUAACAUCAUAAGGUUUAUGUUUUUUAUUUACUAUGAAAAAUGCUUUCAUAAAAUAUAAUUCACAUGUUGUUAAUCUAUACAAAUUUUUAAAAGUUGAUGGUUAAGACAGAACAAAUCUACAACUAAAAGGGCCCCUUUAAAUUACAUGAAUGAAAAAACGGAGGAAUAGAAAAAAAACAUAUGAUUCUAACAAGAAUGUAAGUGUAAAACAGAGGAUUGUAAAACACAGUAGAAGAUAGGAACAGAGGAUUGUAAAACACAGUAGAAGAUAGGAAUGACCAUUUGAUUAAGUCACAGGAAAAACACCAGAAUUUAAGGAGAAAUAUUCUUUCCAUGAGGUUCUACCUUAUGUUAAAUUUUCUCUAAAACUUGUCUGGGAAGAGACAUUUCAUAGAAAUUUCAUAUGGUUUUAUAGGAUUUAUUCUUUUGAUUCAAAGGGAUAUAUAGAAAAAUUUUCUAUAAGAAUAAAAUCCUUUAAAUUUUUUAUGAAUUUCCUUUGGCCUAAGUAUUUCAAACGGAGGGAGUACCAUACUUUUUUUCUCUGCCAGUGCAGUGCCUUAGAGCAUCACCAACAGUCUAUCUAUUCCAUCCUCAAUCCUAAUUUUUUGGGAUUUUGGUUAAAAAAAACUGGUCCAACAGAUUCCCAAAAGAGCUCUGGACGUUUUGGAGUUCCCAUCUCCAAUUUUCUCGGUACGUGUAUUUGAGGGCGAGAGAACGACUCCCAAUCCCCUCCUUCCACUCGAAUUUCUAAAAAAACGAUUUCUAUUGGUAGUUUAACAAUUUCUAAAAAAAACUAAGGUUAACAAUUUAUGUUGGUAGUUUAACAGAAGAGCCCACUUUUAGUUUUUGAGAUUCAAUUUAGGUAUCUCUUGGAGGAAGCGGUUUUUUCACCUUCUAUUUUCAGUUUAAGGGAUAGAUUAUUGGUGGAUUGUUAGUAAUGCUCGGAGGUUUGGAGAUGGGAAUCUGGGAUUUCUGCAUUGAAAAUCGUGAAACUGUGCUUAAGAUUAUUCGCCUUUUCCUGUUUGUUUUUCAACGGAUGGCACGAACUCAAGAGGGAAAAAAAAGCAUUUCUUCACUUCUUCAGCUCUACUGGUACUCUGCUAGUAAUUGUUUACAGGACAUGCAGAAACAAUGAUAUAAAUUUCGAGAGAAAUUAGGUAUAGGAGCACAUUUCUGUAGUAAUUGAUUCUUUUAGAAAAUUUGAAUCGAUCUUGUCGUAAAAUUAUCGUGACACAUACAUAAUCUCCAACACCAUCUUGCAAAUGAAACUCAUUUGCGCUAUAAAUUUCACUUCCUGAUCAUAUCAUACAAGCAACACUCAAUGGCGCCAUGGUCUUCAGCAAAGACGACUUGAGACCAUCAUCAUCGUAAGAAGGCAAAAAUUUCUGUACCAAAGCUUCCAUUCAGAAACAGAUCGUCACUAGCUGCAAAUCCUGCAAAUGUCUGAAAAUGUUUGUAAUUUCUCCUCUUGUCCAAUUGCAAGAACUGCCUAAGAAUCCCAGAUCACCUCCUCCUCAGCCGCUGGCAGGUGGUGCCGCAUCUGCAGCAGCAGCAUUUGCCGUCGCACCCUCCUCGAGCUGGACGAGUCGGGCCACGAUCUCCUGCUUCUUGGCCUUGAGGUCGUCGAUCUUGGCGUCCAGCUUCUCCAGCUUGGCUCGCAGCUUGGCCACGUCCGUCGUCUCCUCCACCUUCUCCUUCUUCUCCUUGCCCUUCUCCUUCUUCUCUUUCUUCUCCUUCUUCUCCUUGGCCGGUUUCGCCGCCUCUUCGCCGUUCUUCUCUUUCUUCUCCUUCUUCUCCUUCUCCGGUUUCGCCUCUUUGGCGUGUUCCUUGAUGAUGAUGAUUUAUAAUUGCCAUGCAAAAAGGAGUGCAGAUGUUCGUCAGAGUUUGGUGAGCAAUGUUACAUGGUUGUGUGACUAAAGUGUGAUUGUUUGAGAAUUUCUUGUUGUAAGCAUCAAAUAUAGUAUCACCUUUCUUUUUGGUUUUGAAGACUAGUAUUUAUUAUCUUGUAUUAUUGUGAGAACUCUCCUAGUUCGACUGUCAUUUCUUAUGAUUCUCACACAAUCAUGAGUGAGAAUAAGUCUUAUCCUGUCAACAAAUUUUUUUUUCAAAAAACCAGAAGAAUGUUUACCUUGUCCUUUUUCUCCUCCUUGUGAUGUUCCUUGGCUACAUCUGCAGCUUCCAUCUGCAUUGACAGAGAACAUGAUGCAAUGUUCACAAUAUUAGCUUGGAAUUAACACACCAGUCAUGUUUUCAUGAAAUGGAGAUAUGAAGCUUCUCAAAUCAAAGAUUCAAAUGCAGAGGGAAUGGGAGCUUAGCUAGCUUGCCUUUCUCAAGAAACUAACAAGAUUAUCUGUGGUGAGAUUUCUGUGAGCCUUGACUCUUGUGGACAACAAAACCAAUUUCAAGUAGUACGGAUAUAUACAAACUAAAAUUGAGUUCUAUGGAUAUAUACAAACUAAAAUUGAGCUCUAUAAUUAGGAUAGUGUAUGGAUUUGGGCAUGCUGUUGUGAGGAUAAGAGUGAAAGUCUCAUUCAGCUAAGAAUAGCAUCAUUUUAUUUUUCCUUCUGUAGUACUACUAGCUAGCAAGAAAACCUACCUGGCUAUCUAUUCCAUUAAUGAAAAUUGUCUUAUAAUGAUAACAACCUAUAUAUGAUUCAUAAGAUACCAGGCAUGAAAAAGUAUAAAGAACUGGGAGAGCGAGAGAUGGAAUGAGAUAAUUCUUACUGUCAAUUGCAUGCAAACUUUAAAAUAUAUAUAGCCAUACAUGAGAGACUAUUUACAGGGUGAAUUAAAACAAGAGAGUUACAAGAAUUAACUCUAACAAAGCUACUGCAUUGAUGCUAUAGGGGGUUAAACUUGGUGGUAAUCAAUAUUAAUUUUUAAAGAAUUAAGUUGUGUACCUCCUUUACAUCCAAAUUAAGAGUACAUGAGUGAGAGACUGUUACAGGUUGAAUUAAAACGAGAGAGUUAAAAGAAUCAACUCUAACAAAUGUAGAAGUUACUACAUUGUAGUCAAGGGCUCAGUCAAUGCUUUGAUUUCUUUCUUUGGUUGGUGAUUCAAUGUUCUUGAUUGAUUACAAUCUUUGUAAUUUUUUUCUACGGUUUUCAUGUCCUUUUGUAUGAUGUAAAUAUUUUUUUAAUAAAUGCCAUACUGUUGGACAAAUACAUAACAGUAAUUCCCAUAAAAAAAUAAUUGAUGUUGUGCUUGGUAACUGGUGGAUCAAGAAGAAGCCAUCUUUGAUCUUUGGUGUCAAAGAUCCUAUUGUUAGUUUAGGGUGUAAUCUUUUUUCUUUUUGUUUGUGGUGCGUUCGUGAUGCGUUGAGUCUGUCGUGUAUUAUGUUUUCUCCUUUUCCGAUGCAAUAAUAUGCCAACUCUCUUGCGUAUUUGAGAAGAAAGAGCUCCUUUAAUUACAUCCCUCAUUUUUAACACUAAAAAUAAAUAUAUGUUUUUUUUCACGAGUGAUGAACUGAGCUAUGGCCCUGUUUAGUUCGCGAAAAGAAAAUUUUUGGGUGUUACAUCGGAUGUUUGACCAGAUGUUGAAAGGGGUUUUCGGAGACGAAUGAAAAAACUAAUUUCAUAACUCGCCUGGAAACCGCGAGACGAAUCUUGAGUCUAAUUAAGCCGUCAUUAGCACAUGUGGAUUACUGUAGCACUUAUGGCUAAUCAUGGACUAAUUAGACUCAAAAGAUUCGUCUCGCUAUUUCCAUGCAAAUUGUGCAAUUAGUUUUUGUUUUUAUCUAUAUUUUAUGCUCCAUGCAUGUGUUCAAAGAUUAGAUGUGACGUUUUUGGGUAAAAGAAUUUUAGGAACUAAAUCAAACCUAUCUUGUAGGGUCAAUGUGAACCGUCCUGAUAUUUAUUUGUGCAUAAUUCUCAUGCUACAAAGAAAACAUGCAACACACUCGAGGGAUCCUCAGUUGCAAUGCUUUGGAGCCUAGUUGGAUAAUACUAUAUGGCAAGUUUCAUUUAUUACCCUGUCAAAAUAAUUUGAUAAGCGGCAAACCGAAACACACCAUUAAAAAUCUUGUCUUGAUAUAAUAUUGUCAUUUAAGCAGGGAGGGUUUAGAUUUCAGGUCAUUUGUAAAAUUUCAGUUACCUUUCUCAUUCGUUGAUGAAAAAUAUAACAGCUCUCAUCGCUAUCAUCAUUUAAUUUCCAUAUUUAAACAAAGUUCCAUCUUAAAAUUGAUUUUUCUAUCCUAAACAUGAAAUAAUUUUAUAAAUUUAUACUUGAUUUAUAUUUACAAAAUAAUACGAAAAAGUACUCAAACUUACAUGAAAAAAAAUGUAGUAGCAUAUGCAAUAAAAAAUUAUAUGAAAAAUUUUUGACUUUAACCAACAAAACCUAUUCUUAAUUUUUGAUUGUUUCAAUGAGAAAAUUUUUGAAAAAUUAAGAAUUCUAGUAUUUUUUUUAUUCCUUCAGAAAUAGAUAAGAAUUAGUUUGGUGAAUCGGAAACUAUUUUUCAAUUUUAUAGAAAAAGUCCAUGUAAUUUUAUGAUCAAUAAUAGUUUUCGUUUUCCCCAAACCGUCUAAACUCUUAUCCACAUUCUGAUUUAAUAGCUCAAAAAUUAGAAAAUAAACUAUUCCCUUUGUUUCAUAUUAUAUGUCAUUUAUUUAUUUUUCUUAAUCAAACUUUUUUAAGUACGACCAAGUUAAUAGAAAAAUAAAGUAGCAUUUUCAACAUCUUCAAUAUAAAAUUAGUUUCAUUAAAUUUAACACUGAAUAUAUUUUGAUAUAAUGUUUGUUUUGUAUUGAAAAUGUUACUUUAUUUUUAAACUUGCAAACUUAAAUAAGUCUAACUAAAAAAAUAAAUCUAACUAAAAAAAAGUCAAACGACUUAUAAUAUGGACAGAGGGAGGCCCCGUUUGGCAUAGUUCCAGCUCCCAACUCCAACUUACCUAGAGCCGGAGUUGCGCCAAACAGUCCAGAUCCUCCAUUUUUGGAAGUGGAGCUGGUAGAGCUACUCCUAAAAAAUCAACUAUGGGGGUGGAGCUGGAUUUUUGCUGCUCCACAGCUCCACUCCACCCAAAAGACCCACUACCCUUUAAAAUUUUUAUGUAUUUACACAAAAAUACCACUGAACUACCCCUUCACAUCUCCUCUCCUCCCAUUCUCUCUCCCCAUCUUCCUCCCUCCCUACAGCAGUCAACAACGAGCCAGCGACGGACGACGGCGUCAACGUCGGCGGCGGCAGGCGGUGGUGGCACGGCGCGGCGCGUGAGAGCCACGGGCGGCGGCGGCGUCAGCGGGCACGUGGGCGAUGGUGGUGCACGGGAGGCGCGCGAGCCACGGUGGCGCAUGGGUUGUGGUGGCCAAGGUGGUGCACGGGCAGUGGUGACAGUGGUGGCAGCGGGCGAGCGACAGCGGCCGCGGCCGUGUAGGGCGACGCGUGGGUGGCGGCGGCGACGACAGUAGCAAGGCGAUGCCAACCAUGUGUUCGACAAAAUGCCUACAAGGAACGUGGUGGAGUGGAGCUGACUAAUCUAGCCAAACACUCUCGUACCCACUUCAGUUUCUAUAGGAGUUAGCUCUUGCUGGAGUUAGAGUUUAAAACCCUAUCAAACGGGGUCGGAGUAUUAAGGAUCUCAGGCUUUUAAAACAGUGCCCAAGGUUCCCUCUGGGUCCGGGCCAAAAGGCCCUAAACCUAUUCAGGCUCUGUACACGUGGCGGCCCCAAGGUGCUUAUCCUGGCCCGGAAGCAACCGAACAAGAGUUCCCUUCCUUUUUAGCCGGCGGCGAGGGGCAUAAUCGUCUUCUUCCCUCCCUCCCUUCCCCACUACUCUACUCCCCCACUCGCCGUCGCAACUCCCGCCGCCGCACCGCCGCACCGCCACACCGCCCCCGCCGCAAAUGGCGGCCUCGCCGGAGCAGUUCCGGGGCCAGGCGCGGCUCCCGCGGUGCGCCUCCCCGCUCAGCUACGACCUCCGCCUCCGCCCCGACCUCGCCGCCUGCGCCUUCUCCGGCUCCGCCGCCGUCGCCGUCGCCGUCUCCGCCCCGACCCGAUUCCUCGUCCUCAACGCCGCCGAGCUCGCCGUCGACGGAUCCUCCGUCCGCUUCCAGGCACGCGCGCACCGCCUCCCCCGUUAACCAUCCGUGUCUGUUUGCGUUGUUGCCGUGUGUUCGUUUCAGGGUCGCUCAAUCGUUGUAUGAUGGGGUUUUGUAGGAUUUGGUGCCUUCCGAGGUGGUGCAGUUCGAGGAGGACGAGAUCGUGGUCAUCGGGUUCGGCCAGGAUCUGCCGAUCGGCGAGGGCGUGCUCAAGAUGGACUUCACCGGGACGCUCAACGAUCAGAUGAGAGGCUUCUACAGGAGGUAUCGUUGCCACCUCUUUCAGUUACAGAUAACUGGUGAUUGUUGCUAGUCUCUCGUUCACAUGAGGUGCGAACAGGCAUUCCAGCAGCAACAGCUUGCAGUUCUGGUUUAUUAGAUGGUAGUCGCGGACGUGGGAUUUCUAGAUAGAGAAUCGAGUUUUAGAGAACAAUGUCACGAUAUCUAUGAAAAAUCAUUUUUGAUAUGCCAUUAAAAAUGAGUAAAUAGUUUUCCAUAGUUUGGAUGAUUUACAUGAAUUUGGAGAAUUUUUUUGGUUUGGAGGCUACUUUUCUGAAAAUGUAUAAUUGGUUCAAAUUCUUACUCCAAUAUUAGUUAAAAAAGAAGACUUAAGAAUAUCUAUUCUUCGUGCUGGAGACGACCAAUUGAAACUUGAGGAAAUAAGAAAAAUAUUACAUACUACAUAGGAUGUAUGGAAGAGUCCAAGACACCUAACACUAGUAUUACUACAAGCUAUUGAAAUUCUAACAAACAAUUACUACAAGCUAUUGAAAUCCUAACAAACAGAAGACAAAAAAAUUGAACACCUAAUAAAGAGAGGAGAAAAAAGAAUUGAGGAUGCAGGAAUCGAACCCUCGACAUGAUAUAUAAUAAGAAAGCUUUAAACCAGUACAAUAAGAUAAGCUUUAUGAUAUAACGCAUUGUUUUCAAAUAUCUUGGGUAUCCACUUGAAUACCUAUGAACCAUGGGGGGUUCACACCUACUAGAUGAGGUCCGAAGCUGCUAUUCGUUGUUAUGAGUAACUAGGCUUCGAGCAGUGACUUGAUGGAAACUGCAAGUGUGUGUUUGGAAGCAAUCAAUAGCAUUGGCACAUGAACUUUAACAACAAGGGCUAGGUGUACCGGUUCAAAAAUUGUUGCCAUGCUUGAUGUGCUAAGACAAUGGAUAGUAUCUAUAUCUUAUUUGGUAAUGUCCUAGAAAGUGACUAAGAUCUCAGGAUCUUUAGGAUGUGAGCUUGAAUCUACAAUCUUAUCUUAUAAUGAUCGACCAUCCACUCUUUGUUAAUCCUGAAACACUCUUCAUUAAACUUAUUGAACCAUUUGUGUCUGCCUAGGAUCCUGAUCUUGUCUUCAAAACACACACUAUACGCUAUUGGUAGAGUAUGCUGCUCUCCAUACUACCAUAACACCAUCCAUAACUCGCAGCCUAGCACCCACUGUUCACCAGGCCCUAUAGAGCAUUAGCAUAUGUAUAUCCAUCUUAAUAAUGUAGUUUUGAUUAUGAUUUUUUUGGCAUGUUGUAAUAUUAUAGGGCUUGGAUAGCAAACAUAGUUUUUGGGAUAUUUAUUUCCAUUUUUAUUUGAAAUUGCCACAAUUUGAUGUAACUAGUACCUUCCUGUGCUAUAUACCAUUUGUAAGUCUUAGUUUACUCCUGUCCUGUCUUUGUGUCACCAAGAUUCAUGAUUGGAGUGUGAUGUAUAAAUACUGUAUAUAUUAUCCAGGACCUCCAUGUUUGGAUUUUAUCUUCAUUUUUGUAACAAAGCUGUAUACAUUACAUAAUCAGUGUAGUUUGGAGUGCACCGGUUGUACUUUCUUUAUAUCCUUGUGAUCUGUUUUUAAUGCAUUGUGGGUGGUGUUUCCGUGUUUGAUUGCAGCAAGUAUGAGUACAAGGGGGAGUCAAGAAAUAUGGCAGUUACACAGUUCGAAGCUGCUGAUGCAAGACGAUGUUUUCCAUGCUGGGAUGAACCUGCAUUUAAGGUGUUUAACAUGCUACAAUGUUGUUUCCCUAGGAGUGUUUUGAUGUAAUUCAGACAGGAAAAUAUUGUAAUGAAAGAAAAAUUCAGUUUGCACUUCUAGUUUUUACACAGGUCUUAACUAAUAUUUUCAUGGUCCUUGGCUCCUUGCUCUGUAGAAUUUGGAAGGUUGGAUCAAUUAUCUAAAAUAACAUUACCUCUUGUCUGGUUAUUUCUGGUUUAGGCUAAGUUCAAGCUAACACUGGAAGUUCCAUCAGAGUUGGUAGCACUGUCCAACAUGCCAGUAAUUAAGGAGACAGUUCAUGGACCUCUCAAGACCGUCUAUUAUGAGGAAUCGCCACUUAUGUCAACUUAUCUAGUGGCUAUAGUUGUUGGUUUAUUUGAUUACAUAGAGGGCUCAACAUUAGAAGGUAGAAUUUCAGUUUCUGUCUCCAUUGUUUGCUCUCUUUCAUUCAAACUAUAUGAUAUGUCCCUUCUUUGCCUGGUCUUUACACAUUUUUUCAUUGGCUUUUGUUAAUUUAAUGUAGGCACCAAAGUUCGUGUGUAUACUCAAGUUGGCAAGAGUAACCAAGGAAAGUUUGCACUAGAUGUUGCAGUGAAGUCACUGGAUUUAUUCAAAGAGUAAGCUUCCAACAUAGUCUUGCUUCUAAGCUUUAUUUCUAAAGAUGAGGCAGAAUACCAUGGAUGGUGCCUAUUUCACUACAAUAACUAAUAAUGUUCUUUUAUCAGUUAUUUUGCCACUCCUUACCCGCUACCGAAGUUGGAUAUGGUUGCUAUUCCUGAUUUUGCUGCUGGAGCUAUGGAGAACUAUGGGUUGGUCACUUACCGAGAAACAGCUUUACUUUAUGAUGAGCUGUUAUCCUCAGCAUCCAAUAAACAACAGGUUAUGCCUAUAUUUAUCUUUAUCAAUUUCAUUUGUUUCAUUUACUAUUGGAGAGUUAGUCUCGCACUUGAAUCCUCAUGUGUAGUUUUGGCCAGGUAAACUGCUAUUUUUAAAAAAGAAAGAAAGAAAGAAAAAUUAACAUCUGUUCUCUUUAGGUUGCAAUCACUGUUGCACAUGAAUUGGCUCAUCAAUGGUUUGGCAAUCUUGUAACCAUGGAGUGGUGGACUCACUUGUGGCUAAAUGAGGGUUUUGCUUCCUGGGUAUUCAAUCUGAAAACUAUUGUUUGAGAAAUUAGAAAUAUUGUCCAAUUGUUGUGUAUCUUACCGGCUAAUUAUUCCAUAUGUUUCAACAGGUGAGUUAUUUGGCUGUGGAAGCAUUAUUUCCAGAAUGGAAUAACUGGACACAAUUUCUUGAUGAGACGACCUCUGGUCUCAGACUGGAUGCACUUGCAGAGUCUCAUCCUAUUGAGGUAAUCUUCUUCAGUAUGCUUUGGCGAAGUCACUGAUGGAUAAGAAACAUAAUAUUUUGAUGCUGCACAAAUAUGCAUUACAGAUAUGGAAGUACAUGAAAGCAGUAAGAUAAGUGAAUUAACAAGGAUACAAAUUGUGCAUGCAUACUGACUAGGGAUGAAAACAGAGCGGAUAUGGACAGAUAAUGCUCAUACCAUAUUCGUUUUCAUAUUUUUUUGCUGGAUACGGAAACGAAUACGGAUAGCUCGAAUACAGAAACAAAUACGGAUUAUCUCGAAUACGAAUAAGAAUCGAACAUGAUCGGACACAAAUACGGAAACAAAUUUUUUCUCGGAACACGUAAGCCAACUCAACUUCUAAUAGAAACAAAUAUCAACAUAUAUAAUUAGCUCAUUUUAUAUAAAAUGUAGUAUAAUUUAUAAAUAUUUUUAAAAAUUUAAAUAAUAUUAAUAGUGUGGACUAGUGUUAAGAGAUGAACUACUCUUAAAAUCUAAAAAGAUAAAGAAACGGGGUAUGCCUCAUGGCUUCUGCGGAUAUCUGAAUUAUUAUCCGUAUCCGAUAGAAACUCCGAUACCAUAUUCGUAUUCGUAUCUGUAUCCGAACUAUCCAAGAAUUAUCCGAUCCGAAAGGUAUCCGUAUUCGUUUUUCUCCGGAGCGGACGGGAACUAUCUGCUCUGUUUUCAUCCCUAAUACUGACUAGUCAUACAAUACAACCAAUUUUUGAUAUUUUUAUAAAUCUUUGCUUAAUUUAUUCAGGUGUUGAUGCUUAGAAAUUAGAUUUUUUUUUGGGUAGAAACUCAAAUAUGUCAAUAUGCUGCCAUGCAUUUUUUACUAUUUCUGUCUUCACAGAGUUAGCACCUUUGUCCCAGUUGUUAAUCUGGCUAUUUGGUAUGUUCGUUCAGGUUGACAUAAACCAUGCCUCUGAAAUUGAUGCAAUUUUUGAUUCCAUAAGCUAUGAUAAGGGCGCUUCCGUCAUUCGCAUGCUGCAAAGUUACCUUGGUGCAGAGCGUUUUCAGGUUAAAUCCUGUUCUUCUUUCUCCUUGAAUGAAUUUACCAAAAUCUUGUUUUCUGCAAUGGUCCAGCCUCCAGCAUCUCCUGCUGCUAGUAUAUCAGCGCUCUUGAAUUGACACUCUUAUCCACGCAUGUUAUAUUUAUAUUCUUCAUAAACAACUCAGCGCUAGAUGGCUCUACAGAAGUCCAGAUUGCAUUUAACUCAGAUUGAUUAAGAAAAUUUUGUUGACCAAAAAUAAUAAAGGGCAUCGUAAUUGUUUGCUUUGACUUUGUUUCUGGUCAUUUUGCAAAUCUGUGGUGAAUCUGCUGAAGAAUAUCUUGAGUUUGGAUUUUUCUUUUUUAGUUUUUGUUUAUUCUUUCCAGUAAAGAAGGUGAUAUCAUAGAAUGCAUGCGGUCAACAAGUCAUAUCAACUUUUACCAAAGGCUGUAGAAUAUAUAGUUGAGAUAUAUAAACAAUGGUGUGAGUGAUUUUUUCAUGAAAGAUACUCAUAAGUUUUUAGACCAAAGUAUGAAGAUUGAUCCAGCUUUACUAUACCCAAGAUAAGAGUCUCUUUACAGGAAAAAUAAAUAAAGAAAAGAUAUUCAUAAUUUUACAAUUACAUCAUUUCUUUUGAAUACUCGGUAACAACGUUUAGAAUUUUAGUACCCAUAUUAGCAUAUUGUUGUCUUUCUAUGAGAUUGUGUCAUGUUAUUGACUUUGUAUUUAUUAUCACAAUUUAUUAGUCUUCGGCAGGUGCUGAUUUUGUGAAUUUUUUACUCUUUCAGAAAGCUUUGGCAUCAUAUAUAAAGAAGUAUGCUUACUCGAAUGCCAAAACAGAAGAUCUAUGGGCUGUUCUUGAGGAGGAAUCUGGGGAACCUGUUAAGGAUUUGAUGACUACAUGGACUAAGCAACAAGGAUACCCUGUUAUUUAUGCAAAACUAGAUGGACAUGAUUUGCACCUUGAACAGGUUUUCUGGCAGAUUUCUCAUUCUCAUGUUAUACCAACAUACAUGAAGAACUGAAUAUAUGUAUCCAUCGGCCUUGCCUUAUUCCAUUGCCUUAUGCUUCGUCCAAUCUGAAAUCUAAGUCUUUUUGGCCUUAUUCCCAAGAACUAAGGAAGUAGCAAAAUGGUGUUGUUCCCUUCAUUUAUUCCAUUAAAAACACGAUCCAUUUAUUCAUAAUAGUAGUAGCUUUCAAGUAGAAAGAGAAUGGAGGGAAAAAAGAGAAAACUGCCUCAAAAAUUCUACAGUAACUUGCACUUAGAGAGAUUGAAAAGAGUAAAAGACUAAAAUGACUUUUAUUUGGAUUUGAGGUGGUAUAUGUCUAAGUUUUAGCUGUACUAGUCACUUGUUCAGGAUCGCUUCUUUCCAGAACCUCUACUUUUAUUCAUACAUCUAAUCUUAUAUUAGUUUGUUUCUUUUGUUUUUAACUUCUCAUAGUUGUCUAGAGGACCUCACCUUUCCUCAUACACACUUUUAGGACAACAUGCAUGUCACCUUGAUCAGAAACUCAGAACCAUAAUAACUGGAGAUGAGAAUAUCAUAGUGUGCUUUGUGUUUCAUGUUAUCUUUCGUUAUUCAUGUAUGGUCUGCUGAUGUCUUUAUUCACAAGUGUAUGGUUGUAUUUUUUUUCUCAAAUGCAUCCAAUAACUGGCAAAAUUAUAGAUUUCGAAGUAUUGGAACUAGAAAAUUUCGUUCUUCUGGCCCAUAUCAGUGCUUUCAUAUUGCAAAAAGAGGAGCUUACUGAAGUCUGUUCUAUUACAGGCACAGUUUCUAUCGGACGGAUCCUCUGGUCCAGGCUUGUGGAUUGUUCCUAUAACAUCAUGUUGUGGCUCAUAUGAUGCACAGAAAAAGUUUCUCUUGAAGGGCAAGACUGAUAAGGUCCAUAUAGACCUCACUGCCUCCCAAAAUGCCGGAGGAGAGAAGGGUGAAAACUGUUGGAUCAAAUUGAACGUUGACCAAACUGGAUUUUAUAGAGUGAAGUAUGAUGAUGAACUUGCAGCUGGACUUGAAAAGGCAAUCAAAGCCAAUAAGCUCUCUUUAAUGGAUAAGAUUGGUAAUGACAAGAUGAAUUUUCAAUACUACUCGUAUAAUAUAUCCUUGUCAAGAUUUUGACAACAGAAACACAAUAUUUUGCUGCAGGUAUUGUGGAAGAUUCAUACUCCCUUUCUGUGGCUCGCAAGCAAACACUGACAUCCUUGCUUCGCCUGCUGAAUGCUUAUCGCAAUGAGUCUGAUUACACUGUGCUUUCACAUGUAACCUCUGUAAGUAAACCUUUCGCCACCUCCAAUGAAAUCAUAUACCUUGUAUCUUUGAUUGAUUCUAUGGUAUCAACUAUUGUUCUCAAUAUUAAAUACAUGCAUCCUUUUUGACAGGUAUGCUUAGGCAUUGAUAAAAUAUCAGUUGAUGCUACUCCUGAAUUGUCCAGAGAUAUCAAACAGCUUUUGAUCAAUCUUCUUCUAUCAGCUGCCAAGUAUGCUAACAAACUUAAUGUUUUACCAUUUUCAUCAUCAUGUUUAUCUGGAUUUCACGAAUCUGGAUAUUAUCAUUUAUGUGCAUUUGUAUAUUUACUUCUGAGUUGGCGCAUGCCACUGGUGAAUUUGUUUCUGUUAAUAAACUUCUGUCUACUAUAUUCCUGCUGUUUUCUUUCUAUGAUCAUAUUGAAAUCCUUCUUGUACUUCUAAAUAUCAGAACACUAGGCUGGGAUCCCAAGGAGGGCGAGAGCCAUCUUGAUGUAAUGCUUAGAUCAUUGCUCUUGAUUGCCCUUGUCAAACUUGGACAUGAUGAGACUAUAAAUGAGGGAGUUAGGCGGUUCCAUAUCUUCAUAAAAGACCGCAAAACUAACAUUCUUCCCCCAGACACUAGAAAGGUUCAGGCUUUUGCUUAACAUACUACUGCAGUGUUACCUCUAUGAUAUCUAGCAUACUGAUAUGCAUUGGUCUGCAGGCUUCAUAUCUUGCUGUGAUGCGGACUGUUACUACCUCCAGCAGAGCUGGUUAUGAUGCCCUCCUGAAAAUCUACAGAGAAACAGCUGAAGCUCAGGAGAAGUCACGCAUCUUAGGUUUGUGCAUUCCAACCGUCUAGCUUAAGCGACAGCAGGAAUUUUCUGAUGAGUUGUCCUGGAAAGUAACGUUUCUUCUGUUUUAGGUUCAUUGUCUUCAUGCCUGGAUAAGGAUAUUGUUCUUGAGGCACUAAACUUCAUGCUUACCGAUGAGGUUAACCCUCUGAAUCAUUUAUAUUUUACUUAUUCUGAACAAAUGAUUCCAGAUAGUAAAUGGUAGAAUGAGAACCAUUAUACACCAUUGGUACAGAAGCCAAUCUAAUCUCUCUCUUGCUUGUUAGGUACGGAAUCAAGAUGCAUUUUAUGUCCUUGGUGGUAUCAGCUUAGAAGGACGAGAAGUUGCAUGGGCCUGGUUGAAGGUAUGUUAUUAUAGUUGCAGGGUACCUAAAGUGGAUUAUUAUAGUUAUCUGAUAAACAACGCACACAUUUCUGAUAUUUUUGAAAGAAAAAACAUAAGCACUGUAUGUGGUGCUCAAUAUAUAUAUAUUUUUACUGUUGUGAGGGGUUCAAAGUUCAAUUGUUCUGCCAAAUGCCAAUGCAUGCUAGGUGUCUAUCUCAAUACAAGAACAAAUAAUUUGUUAAAAGUUAACGAUGGAACUAAAACAGAUGAAAUAGGGAAGAUGAAAUUAUCAAAACUUCCUUUGCACCGACCGUGCCAAUAUCCAAGUUACUGCAAUUGAAUGAUGUUCCCUCCCUGUUCACACUUUGCACGAUUAGGUCUCUUCACCCAAAACUGGCGCAAUCAAUCUAUUUUACCAAAUAUCAUUGGUCCUGCUCUUUUAGCCAACCAGAAAACAAAAAAGCAAAAGGUUUUACUGAGAUACACAGUACAUCAUAGGAAAGCUGUUCUGACAGAUGAACUGAAGCCGUUUAUGCAGUUGCACCAAAUAGGAGUAUGCUGCUAAUGAGCUUUGUGCCCUUACCAAUGGCUGGGAAACUUAUUCCAUUAUCUAAAAAAAUUUCGAUGAUCACCUCCAUGAGAUUUAAAUCUCCAAACCCAUUCACGAGUCCACAAUUCUGCAUAGCUCUCUGCUAUUCGAGGGAAAUCCAAGCUUGUAGCGUAUGAAUAACAAUAGAACACAUUUUUCCACUUUAUAGAAGAGAUGCUGCCUGCAUAACACACUAUUUGAUACUACCUCCGCCCCCAAAAUAAUUGUAAUUCUAGGUUGUUUAGCAUAUAUUAAGGUUUAAGAAGAAAGACUAUGAUACCCCUUAUUAAAUGGUAUAUAGGUAAGAGUGGGAGGGUAGUUGAAGGUAAAAUAGAGAGAAAUUUGAAUAAGAAAUGAUUAAUGAGACCAUUAGUAUUCUGUUGUGAUAACUAUUUUUGGACAAAUUCAAAUCCUAUAAAUACAAUUAUUAUGGGACAGAGGCAGUAAUAAUGAGCUAAACGAAGAAGUUACAUUAAUAAGUUCUGUUAUUUUUAGCAAGUCUGAUUAGGAGUUCAGAGUAAGUUGUACUUUUAUGACCAUGAGCCCAUCUGUGCAUGAUGCAGGAAAACUGGGAUCAUGUCUUGAAGACCUGGCCAUCAAGUUCACUCAUAUCGGACUUCGUCAAAUCUACUGUUUCACGGGUACGCGAAGUCACCGACCACUUUUUGCUUCAUUGUUCUCCUUGCUCUGCUGCUAAAUUCGCCGUUUUCUCUGCAUGAUCAGUUCACCACAGAGGAGAAGGCUGCUGAAGUUUCCGAGUUCUUCGCCGGUAAAACCAAACCAUCGUUCGAGCGUGCACUGAAGCAGAGCCUCGAGAGGGUCCGUAUCAGCGCGAGAUGGAUCGAGAGCAUCAGGAGCGAGCCUAACCUUGCUCAGACAGUGAACGAGCUGCUGCAGCACGACAUGUAGCCUUCCUUUUGGGCUAAAGCUAUUUGUACGCUCAUGGAGGAUCGUACAACACAAAUGUUCUUCGAAAGGUUGUGCCGGGUGUGGCUGUUCUAACGAUCAUAUUUUAAAGUUUGUUUAGUUCUAUCUCUAUCUUUUGCUUGGGCAAUCGAAAAGACAUGUUUGGUCCUCGCAGCGAGGUGUGCUUGGUUCAGCUUUUGUCAGGACUGGCAAUGAAAAUCACAAAUCUUGUACAGAACUGUUUCAUUUCUACAGCCAUAUCAGAAGGGUUACAAAAAUAACACCACACCUGGUGUUGAUAACAUAUACAAAUACAAUACAUUACCUCUAUACAGUAAAAGAAAAAAAAAAGAUUGCACAACAUACAGGACAGCACCAGCUCGUGAAUUCCAAAGUUUAUAUUUCUACCAGGUACAGUUUAUACACAACAUGUUCUACUACUAGAUCGAAUAUGCUAGUCUCAUGUAAAGCCGUGACAGCUCUUAACGGCAUGUGGCAUGCAUCUCAGUCACUGAUGAUGUUCAUGGAGAACUUCGAUAACAAGUUUGGAAUUCCAGCUAUGAUUGAGCCAUAUACCUGCAAAAAAAAAAAGAGUCAGCUGAAGCAGCUGAGCUUAAAAAAAGAUGGUAAAAUCCCUUGUGUUGGAUGGUGAUAACCAAACUGACCUGAGCAUUGUCAUGAAUCUGGGAUAGAGGCACAGCUAGCAGCUUCAUGUUCCUUGGCACGACAAAUUGGCGAGACACCGGCAGUUUAAUCAAGAACAGUUUUAUGCAUUCCUUCAUGACAGGCAACAAUAAAAUGAUUCACUCAGGUUAUAAGCACAUUAAUAUUAUUUGAGGAAACCACAUGGUUCAUGGAUGAACCGGAGUGUAUGUCAAGCUCUUUACCUUUGGUGCACGGGCAUUUGGAAGUAGAUAUGGAAAUGGAGCAGCAUCAAACUCAGAUCUCCACCACAUCCCAAUGCACUCUCCAAUCUAUAGCCGAUAAUCAACGUGAAAAGGAUGAAUAAUUUGCUGGAUCAUACUGGUGGUCUCACUCCCAACAUUACUGAACAUCUCUGUUCACUCCAGUUACCUGCCAUUCGUCGUCCCCGUCGCCGUCUUCGUCAUCCUGAUGUCCAGCUACCGAUAACUUGGUUGAAAGUUUGCGCUUGAGCCCUUGGACAUCUGAAGCAGAGAUACCAGGCAACACACGUGUCAUCCAAAUUGCAAGUGUACCGGUGCACUAGCAUUAUCUCCCACGAGGAGAAAAUCACAUCCUACUCGGCAGUAGACACUUGCACAUGGCAAGAAUUCAAUAGUAGGUUCAAUUCAAUCCAUUCCUAAAAUUUUUACGGGAAAACUUGGGAAAUUGCAGCAAUGAUGAUUGAUGAGCACCUUGUUCCCCUGGUCUCAAGCGGCCACCGGGGAGGAGGAAGGAGGAGUUCCUGACUUGCAGGAGCAGCACGUGCGGAUGAUCAAAGAGCUCAACCAGCAGGACGCCAUGGACGCUGGUCCGGAGCCCGUGCGCCGCGAAGCUGCACAGAUCAAUCAAACCACACACACAAAAUUACAUGAUCGUCACGCAUUUGAUCGAGCAGGUGGCGGGUAGUGCGCGCGCGCGUGCGUACUUGGCCUUGAGGCGGAGGGCGCGGUCGGCGGCGGUCUCCAACCCCGCACCCGCGCCACCAGCGGCAACAUCCCUGGCGCCGAAGUAGUAGCGGCAGAGCGGGUAAAUCUCGACACGCGCCGCCGCCGCAGCGGGCGAAGGCGCAGCAGCAGCCUCGUCCGUCAUGAUCUCCAGCCCCAUGCCGGUGCAGCCGCCCGCCGAUCACCGCAACUUAUAUAUAGGCAGCCGCGCGCGCGGGGAUCAGAAGGCGACGGAGAUCGACGGGCAGAGCGAGGGUUUGGGAAGCUUCUGCCUUGGCCUAUACGAGCCUAUACAGGGUUUGGUUUGGUUAUUUGGGGGAGGAGAGGAGAAGAGAAGAGGAGAAGGGUAGAGAAAGGUCAGGAGCGGGAAGAAUGGCGACGUGGCGGGGAGGGGAGUGGGGUGGUUGGGCGGUGUGGGUGUGGGCCCGGACUGUGGUCGCUAGUCAUGGGCCCGUACGGGCUGCCGAACUUCGAUAGGCCGUGAUGAUGUAUUGGGCCGUCCACCAAGGCAAACGGAUCGGAUAAACUAUUUACCGUAACCGUAAUGGAAGAUCACUUUGACUCCCUCAACUGACCACCGAAUCUAAAUCGUAUCCCUCAACCGCAAUACCAGAAAUCUUGAACCCCCAACUUACAAAAUCGGUACGAUUUGACUCCCUUGGUGGUUUUGGAGAGUGGUUUUGCUGAUGUGGCAUAUACGUGGCAGCGUUGAUUUGGUCUUUGUCCCACGUGGCAUUGACGUGGCGCUUACAUGGCAUUAAAAUUUAAAAUAUAUGUGGGUCCAUUUGUCAUUCACACAAAAAUAAUUGUAGGCCCCGCUGACAUGUGGGUCCCACGUGUCAUCCUCUCUUUAUCCCUUCUUCCUCCUCCCUCUCCUCCCUUCUCUAUCUCUCCCUCUUUCUCUUUGUGCGUGGGGAGCGGCGUCCGAAUCGGCGGUGGCGACGGCCUAGAUCCAGAGCUCCGAAUGGCGGUGGCGGACGGGCCGCUGGACCCAUCAAACCGGGAAGCCAUGGCGACCACGCCGCCCGCCUCGUCCCAGCCGCCGCCGCCGCUGCCUCGCGCGCUUCCUUCUCCACCUUCUACCCUCCCGCGAUCUCCCUAUCCCUCUCCCGCUCCGCCGCCGCCAGCUGCCGCGGCCGCCUCGCCCUCGCGGCUCCAAGUCCAAGGGCGCAAGAGCGGAGGAGAACAAGAAGGGGCAAGAGCAGGAGCAGCAGGAGGCGUCCAUGACGGUGGUGGACGGCGCAGAGGAGGCCGGGAAGGAGGAGGAGGGGAGAAGAGCCCCGAGACGGUGGCGGCGGAGCUGAAGGAGGCCGAGACCGCGGCCAUCAGCAGCGGGUGGUGGGUCGGCGUCGCGCAGGAGAUGUCGAAGAUCGAGUGGCCGGUGCCCGGGAAGGUGGUGGGCACCACAGGCGUCGUGCUCGGUGUCAUCGCGGGCUCCACCGCCGCGCUGCUCUCCGUCAACGCGCUCCUCGCCGAGCUCUCCGACCGCACCGCCGCUCGAGCCCCCACCUGCCGCCGGCUCAUGUCAAGGGGAGAGAGAGAAAUAAGGGAGAGAGGAGGAAAAAGAAGGGUGGUGAGAGAGAGGAUGACAUGUAGGAACCACAUGUCAGUGGGGCCCACAAUUAUUUUUGUGUGAAUGACAAUUGGGCUUCGCAUAUAUUUUUUAAUUUUAAUGCAGCAUAAGUGUCACGUCAACGCCACGUGGGACGAAGACCAAGUCAACACUGCCACGUGUGCGCUACAUCAGCAAAACCACUCUCCAAAACCACCAAAAGAGUCAAAUUGUACCGGUUUUGUAAGUUGGGGGUUCAAAAUUUCUAGUAUUGCGGUUGAGGGAUAUGAUUUAGAUUUGGUGGUCAGUUGAGGAAGUCAAAGUGAUCUUAUUCCAACCGUAAUACUCUACAUCCUUCCUAUAAAAUAAGAUUAACGAGAUUAUUUUUAUCUAUCAGUAUCGGCAAGUACUAUAAGCAUCUAAGCACGAGCCCACGAGCUCCUAGAUAACACAUAAGCUUAAAUGAUAAGGUAGAGAAGAGAAAAGAGGAGAGAGAGGAUGAACGACCCCUCAUGUAAAAAGCAACCUUUUCACAAUGUCCCCUAGUAAAUUAGUUGAUGAUAUGGAUAAUAUUAGAUGUGACUAUAAAACUUGUCAUCUAAUAUCAACUAUUCUUUCUCGUUUUCCGCACGCAGGUUUCCCAAAAUGCUAAAUAGUUUAUUUUUUGUAAAAAUUUUCUAUAGCAAAGUUGCUUUAAAAACAUAUUAAUCUAUUUUUUAAAAAAUAUAGCUAAUACUUAAUUAAUUAUGUGCUAAUAAGUCGCUCUGUGUUUUGCAUGCGCAAGAGAUUAGUUCCCAACUCAAUGUAUCGAACAUGCACAGCCUUAGGCACAACCGAACUACAUUUGAUAAGUAGUUAUGCUUAUGCACCUAUAACUCCACUCUGCGUCUCCACCAACAUAUCGACGGUGGUUUCAAUAUUUGAUGCCUAGCUUGAUCACUGCAGGGAGAUAUCAAACCAUAAGAUAUAGAAAAUCACUACACCACAUCAGUGCCGGUUAGGAACCCCACAUAGUUACCGAUUUUCUCAACCAGCACCAUAGAAGCGGCACAUAUAUGAAUAUUGGUUAGAGUAUAUGGUAGUUAGAGUCAUAUUAGAAUAUAAUUGAUAUGUGUGAAUUCCUUCCUAUUUGUAAUCCUUCCUUACACUACCGAAGAAACCUUUUGUAGUCCCGAUUGGUAACCCCCUGUAGUCCCGGUUUUAUAACUGGGACUAUGAAUCCGGACCAGUUGAAAUAACCGGAUCUUUAGUCUCGGUUGGUGUUACUUUUUUUCUCUUUUUUUUUUCAUUGUUGUUUUGUUGUUUAUAUCUCGAGCACAAUCACACAAAAAUCACACACAUAAAUCAUCCAAGAAAACCAUUCACAAAUCAUACACAAUCAUCCACUAUACAUGCCCUUCCGCAAUCCACCAAUCAUCCCCAAAUCAACAAACAAAUCUACACAUCAAUUCACAAAAUAAAAAAAAAAGCUCCUUAGUGUCAGGAGCCAAGAUCUGAACUCGCUCCUAACAAUUGAACUUACCCGGCCUCACACUUAGGGAGGCCAGUCACCGCCGGCCUCAUCCAGCGUGGGCCGCCGCCGCCACCGCCCGGCCACCUGCCACGCAGCCAGCUCGCUCAGCCGCCGCCGCCCGACCGGCUGCCACAUGGCCGCCGCCACCCGUCCGCUGCACAGCCGCCUGCCGCGCGGCCGGCUCGCUCCGCCGCCGCCGCCCGGCCGCCGCGGAGAGGGGAAGGAGGAGGAGGAGGCGGGGAGGGGGAUCAGAGGAGAGGGGAAGGUGGAAGAAGGGGAAAGGAAGGGGAAGAGGCCUCUCUGAUCGAUCGAUCUGUUCGGGAUACCGAGUCUUAAUGAAGGAGAGAACGAAAGGGGAGGGGAUACCGAGAAGAUAAGAUCGGCACGCGACUCGGCUGUUUAUUUUUGUCCCGGUUGAUAUAAACAACCGGUAUUAAAAAUAGAUCUUUAGUCCCGGUUGUUUAUACCAAUCGUCCCGGUUGUUUAUACCAAUCAGGACUAAAAGAUAAUUGGGGCCUGACUCAGACCCGCCAACUUCUUUGAACUAAGACUAAAAAUAAUCUUUAAUAAUUUUUAGUCCCGAUUCCUAUUCAAACUAGGACUAUUAUGUUUUUGGACGACCGACGAAAGAUGGUAACGUGUCUAAUAUUCGCAGUAUAUCUCUCGUCUACUAUCAAUAUGGUAUCCAAGCGGGUGAUGUAGGGUCGCCGCCGCUCGCGCUUCUGCUCGUCGCCCCGGGGAGCAUUUCGAUCUCACGGGGGCGGGCACCAUUUUUUGUUUUCCUUUUUUUUUUGGGUUCGUCGUCAUGGUGGUUGCCCGUGAGGGAUCGAUCUCGAUCUUCUCCAGUGACCCUCGUCGGCGUCAUGGUGGUUUGAGUCAAGCAUCAGCCGCAGUAACGCAUGGAUCUACCGGUCGUCGCGUCGCGAGUUCUCGUCAUCGAGCCAUCCCCGCCGCCGCCGGGUGGACGGUCGCUUCUUCCUCACCGCGUCGAGGUGCACGGCCGGCGUCGCCGAGCCCCGACCGCCCCCGGCCUGGCGCGCUCUGCCGGCACCACCCCGUCGACCUCUCCACCCGGCCGCCGGACUCCUUCCGCACCGCCUCCGUCUUGCUGCGCCGACGCCCUCCGUCAGCAUCUCUGGCUGGACAGUCGUUGGCCGAGCGCCCUGUGACCACUUUCUGCAGUGCCUCCUUUUGACCCUGUUGACUAGCCAUCGUCUCUGCUGUGAUCUCGUGCGUUGCUGCCAAGUGAGAGGAGAGAGACUGAUUGGUGUGGAGAUAUCUAGGCUUGUUGACUUCGUUGACGUCAUGGUGACCAGACCUGCAUGAGUUGCGUUGGAGGGCUGUGGUGUGGUGUGGACUGCUGCUACUGUGUUGUUGCUUGUAUCUUUCUUCUUUCUCCCGACCAGAGAUCAGGUUUGUGUCGCCUACCGCCUCGUUAACAUCUACGUGUCUCCGACAUCGGCAUCAACUUCGGCUUCGACUUCAUUGUUCCGUUGUGUGCAACUUCGGUCUGAUCACCUGAUCAAGCACACAUACAUGAUGACUUCUGCAACUGAUCGUCUGCGAGCAUAUCUACUACGCCAUCAAGCUUUGGGUUGCCGCUGCGUCGCCCUCUCGGGCCGCAGUGUUGCCGCCUGUGGUCCACGGAGAGACGUCCUCCUCACUGUGGCCUCACCGCCGCUGGAUUUCACGUCGCUGCAUCAACAUGGAGCUACACCUGUAUCACCCCUUCGGGUCAUAGUGUCGCCCGUCUCGUCGUCUUCAUCGUCGUUCGUGCAUCGACAACCUCGUCAUCCGCACUGGUCAUCGUCAGCCACUCGAGUCUUCUUUGUCUACUUCGAGCAUCGCCGCCGUGUCUCCAAGCUGCCACUGUCGCCGUUCUAGGCCAGUGGUCUAGCUACCUCUACAUAGCUACCGAUGUCGCUGUCCAGGCCGUUGGUCCUACUUUGCCUUCUUCUUCGUCCAGCAUGUUUCAUCGCCAGCGUCGUCGUAUCUUUCUUGACUACACUUCGCUCUUCUUCAGCAACUGCGCGCUGCUCCGGAAUUCUCCCUCUACGUCAUUCUCACGCCACGACUGUCCCGGAGGCAUUAUUUGCUAGUCUCCUCCGACAUUUGCGUAUGAUUCACGGUGGUCCCUUGCCUUGCCGGCACGAUAUUGGCAACACUGUUGCGCGUGUUUGUCCCGAGUUGUUCCCGAGUCUGGCAAACCCGGCGUGACAUCUCUUCUUUACAGUUCGACUACAUCGGCUCUUUGGCAUCAUCUUCCUCAAUGACUGCCGCGAUCGGGUCACCGUCAUCGUCUCCAGUGCAUCCUCACGCACCUUGGUCCAUGACGCCCUCCUGUGCGUCCACGACCACUCUACGGCGCCCCAUGCGCGCUCUGCGGCUUGGGUACCUCGACAUCAGCUUCCCGACUUCGGCUACAUCGACCAUGGCUACUUUACGCACGGCUUCGUCGCCCACGGGUCCUUCGCAUCCUUCGCUUUGGCUACAUCGACAUGGCACAAAGGGCAAUCAUUCGUCUUGAGCACUCUUGCUGGUUUCUUCUCCAAUCCAAGUGUCCGCUUUGCUCACGCAUGGACUACGGGGGGAUGUUAGAGUAUAUGGUAGUUAGAGUCAUAUUAGGAUAGGAUUGAUAUGUGUGGAUUCCUUCCUUAUCUCCUCCCCUUGUACUCCUAUAUAUACCGGCCCCCUGAGGCUCAAUACAACGUGUCUAAUAUUCACAGUAUAUCUCUCUCUUCUACUAUCCAACAAUAUUCAAAUGUGCCGGUUUAGGAACCGGCACCUUUUUGGUCCCAAGAAUCCAAAAAAAAGGGGGGGGGGGUCUCGAUGCAUCGAGCCGUUCCCCAUCACCUCGAGACCCCAUCGAUCCAAAGCAAAUCACAGAAGUUUCACACACUGUCACCAUCGAUCCAUCCAAGACAUAUCCCUCAAAGCACCAUCUUUGAUCCAUCCAAUGAUAGAUCCCUCAAAGCACAAAUCAUAAAAGUUUCACACAAAUCACAUGUGAAAGAAGCUCAAAUCACAGAUCCCUCAACAAUUUCAUAGAAACAAAAUCAAAUUUAUAGUACAAAUCACCGUUGCCGAUACGUCGCCGGAUUCGUCGCGGGAGCCGCCGCCGCCACCGCUCCACCCGCGGGAGAAACCUCCGCCGCCGACGCCGACCCCGGAUGCGGCCCCGGCUACCGUUGAGGCUAGAUCCGUCGUGGGAGCCGCCACCGCCGCCACCACUCCGUCCUUGGGAGAAGCCUCUGCCGCCGACGCCGACCUCGACUGCGGCUCCACCCGCCGUUGCCACCCCGGCCGCCGUCGAGGCCGCCUCGCCCACCGCCGCAUCUGUCGUGGGAGAGAAGCCACCACCGCCGACACCGUAUGUGGGGAGAAGGAGGAGGGGGCGAGAGCGAGCGAGCGAGAGAGUGAGAGAGAGAGGGGCAAGAGAGAGAUCGAGAAGCGAGCGAACCUCUUAUCCCCUCGGCCUUAUCUCGUCGUGGUGGGGCCUGCCGGCUCGGCUCGAUUUCUGUGGGUGUCAGCUUUUAAUUAACCGAUAUCUAUAAUAUAUUAAAGGUACCAUUUUUUUUAAAAAAAAGGGGGCACCUAUAGAAUAGGUGUCGGUUCUUAUUUAGAACCGGUACCUAUAAUUGCUUAAAGGUAUCGUUUUUUUUUGCGAUUUCAACCUGCGAAAGUGGAAAAAGACCUAUAGGUACCGGUUUUAGCACUUCCGGCACCUAUAGUACCGAUAUCUAUUUGAUGUUUUGUAGUAGUGAAUUUACAUUGCAAAAUAUAGUAGAGUACUUGUUUAGACUGCAGCAGCUACAUUACACGGUAAAAAAUGUGUAGCUCCGGCUGUGCAGCGCAGCCGGCUACAUCUGUAAUGCAGCAUUACCAAACAGAACCAGUACCACUAUUUUCUUCCGUAUAGUAAUAAAAAGGACAUUCUGUGUUACUAUCUUGCUAGCUAAACCCCAGAGGCGGAGCCAAUGCCUCGCCCAACAAACUAGCUUAUGUUUUAUACCAACCCACUAAUCACAUAAUUAUUUAAAUUAUACAGUGUAUUAGAUCAGCUCCAAUACCAAACAUUAGCAUAUGCAUGGCCAGUCGUCUUUGGCCAUGGUGUUUCAGCUGGCUGCUUGGCUUUGGAUGCAACACCACAAAUCCUUCCAGAUGUGUUUUGAUUAUUGCUCCAAUUUUGAUUGAUCAUUGUUACUCUCUCAGUGCUAGAUCUACUUCUGCGGCGUUGUACAUAUUUCUAUCUUCACUUGAGCAUUAGAAUCCUGCCUUGCUUGCUUGACCCAGUUCACCACGGAUCUGCGUGCUGCAUAGUUGCAGUGCACCCAGGAGGCAGGAGCCGAUGAUACUGAUAGCCAGUUUCUUCAUGAGCAUGUUAUGGUCAGUAUCUAUUGCUUAGAAUUUUGCAGGGUGAUGUCUUACUGAAUUUGUUAUCUUUAUAUUUAUGAUAUAGUUGGUAACUCUAGUAAAAUUAUCAGUAUAUUUAUGAUAUACUCCCUCAUUCCUUAAAUGUUUGACACCGUUGACUUUUUAAAAUAUGUUUGACCGUUCGUUUUAUUCAAAAACUUUUGCGAUAUGUGUAAAAUUAUAUGUAUACAUAAAAGUAUAUUUAACAAUAAAUCAAAUGAUAGAAAAAGAAUUAACAAUUACUUAAAUUUUUUGAAUAAGACGAACGGUCAAACAUUUUUAAAAAAGUCAACGGCGUCAAAUAUUUUGGGAUGGAGGUAGUAGUUGAUAACCAUAAGGCUAAAUUGACUUUGCUAAAAAUAUGUAUUUUUCUCUCCCUAUUUUAUACCACCAUUUGCGAAAUAUUGUGGGGGUGUGUUUUUAUUUUGUAUGUUCCACUAGGUAAACCAUCACUACUACAUAACACGUUUUUGCAUACGGGUGAAACUGAUUUUUGCAUGCGGUUGCUGCAGCCACAUGCGUGAAAAGGUAUGUGAAAAUCGGUAUUUUUGCAUGCAGCUAGCACAACCAGCGGGCGCUUAAGCCGACCGCAUGUAAAAAGAAAAAAAUCACAAAAAUAUAAAAUUCCAAAAGAAAAACCCUAGCCCCACUGCCGCCCGAGCUCCCGUCAUCGCCGUCGCCACUGCCGCGCCUGACGCAUUGAUAGCCGGAACAUAGAAAAGCAGUACGUACUAACAUUUAGACCUAACAAUUUCUCCUAGCCUACAUAGAUCAAAGUAUAGACUUAGACAGUUUUCCGACUCUUAGCACAAACCAAAAUUUUCCUUCGUGCAAUGUACAACCUAGCUAUACCAAUUAAUAGUUUUCCAUUUUUUAUCGAAGGGUAGGUAGGUGCAACCAGUAAAGCACUAGGUUGCUUGUGGUUUAUAAUUUUCACAUUUCUCGUUUUCUUUUAAGUAGAUCAAUCGAUAUAUAUAUAUCAUCACACCACUACACAUAAAUACAUACAUGAUGGCAAGAUAUUGGCAUAUGGUUUCCAAUAAUUAAGACACCUCGACCUCGAUCGAUUCCGUUGCAAAAGAUAUGCUUACCCUCUCUUUCUUCGUGUUUUCCGGGGAACUUAAUGGAAUAAUGGAUGCCGUUUUGGGCAUGUAUCCGUUUUCUACUGGUACUACUUUCUAGAGGUGCAGGUAGGAUGCUUGCCUCAUUUUGUGCAAGAUGACCAAACAGUCCAUGUGAUUUGUGCUAUAUAUGAUUGUUUGAUGGCUUGACACACGGUAUGGAAAUUUGGAGUCAAGUAAACCAUCAAAGCUAAAUUGGUGGGAAACCACUAUCCUUCCAUAACAAACAAACCAUAUCUCUCUCUGGAUGAAGAAAAUCAAGUUUUUACAUAUGGUUGUGGAGCCGUAUAUAUAAAUCCUACUAAUUUUUACCAACAUCUAGUUUCGGGUGGAUGCCCUAACCAUUUAUGAAAAGAAAUUCGCGCACGGAUGCUCUACCACCCGUAUGGACCCUUGGUAUGUGGCGGAGCUUAUGACUGCCAACAAUAACCUAUUUUGGUUGCUACAAAAUAUGUUUUUCGUAGUUGUGCGUGAAAAGAAAUUCUAGCCGCCUAGGAAACCCUUCUUGGUAGUAGUGGACAUAUGAUUCCGUUGCAAAAGAUAAGCUUUGCCCUCUUUCUUCCUGUUUCCCGGGAAACUUCAGUGAGUACCCUUACCGUUUCUGGCAUGUGUACCUUCAAGGAGUACAGGUAGAUUGCCUGCCUCGUUCCGUGCUAGAUGACCCCAUGUGGUUUGUGUUCUCAGUUCUGAACUGUGGACGGCUUGAUCCAGCGUGUGGAAAAUUGGAGUCAAGUAAACCCGUCGUGACUGAAUUAUUCCAUGGUAAGAACUAGGGUAAAAUGGGGUCAUGUAGGGUUGGAUCACGGCAUUUUUUAUCCUAACCUAUAUUUUUCCUUUAAUUUAAAACCAUGUACAGAUAUAGUGUUAGAUUAGAUAACAUAUCACUCAUCCCGUAUCCUAUCUCAUAUUAUUUCCUCGGAAUCAGAUUCAUACACGGAAAUCUAUUUCUAUGUGCAAUUCAUGCAUAUUAAAUAUAGAUGGACAAUUAAAGUAUUAAAAGAGAUAAAUUAAGAAAAAAAUAUACAAUAUUACCUAUGAUCUUGUAAAAUAGUGAUUAAUCAAUAUUUUAUCAUGUUUGUAGCCUUGUAGGUGGACUUAUAAUAUAUUUCCAUAUGUGUUUAAUAACAUGGGAAAUACAAGCAUAUCUUUUCACGGAUUCGGAUUCUAAUUCGGAUAAUAUUGAAUAUCCAUUUUAUGUCCUGUAUUCUUCCUACGAGCCUCGAGUCACAUGGGCGGUUGGAAAAUGCCCAUCUCGUUUUUACCCCAGUAAGAACUAGGAAAAAGUUUGAAUUAACCCCUCUAAACUUUUGCCACCGUUAGAAAUUAAAUACACUCAUAAACUAUAUAAAAUAGAUAUUAUACACCCCAGAUAUUCUAACUCAAUCUAAAAAAAAAUAGUGGGCUCCAGUGGCACGUCUCCCUCCUCGCUUUCUUCCACUAAACGACUAAUGAUAUCAUGAAGUGCCUGUUCACUCUGAUGAAAAAAAAAACCUUAUCAAAUUUUGCUAAAAUUUUGGUAGGAUUUCUUAUAUAGUUACUAAAAUUUAGCAGCAAACUAAAUAUAGCCACUUUUUUUAGCAACUUUACUAAAAUUUGAUAAAAUAAAAAAUGACAUUAAAAUGAAUAGGCCCAAAAUGAAACGGCAGGAGUAGCAGCAGUCGUUUCAGCAUCAACCAUCGUAGAACAAUAUCAUUACAGCAAUAACGUCCCACUAACCAGUCCAGUAAAAAUUUACGCCGCAGUAAAUACUCCUACAGUACAAACCUCACCAGUAUAAAACGAGAAGCUAGCGAACCACCUGCAGGAGGCGCCAGGCGGGUUGCAAGCAAACACACAACCCACCCGUCGUUGGGUCAGCCACGUGCACCGCGACCGAGCCGGACCAGUUUGGUCUCGGACAGUCGGACCCGAGUCAAUCCUUCAGCCUCAGGUGCGGCGUCCGCCCGCCACGUGUCCUCGCCUCACCAAUCAUCACCCAUCCUUCUCUUCUCGGCCCCACCAACUCUGUCUCUCUCUCUCUCUCUCUCUCUCGCUGCUCGCGCAAAAACCCCAACUGCGUCGCCGUGCUCGCCGGCUCGCCGCCUCGGCCUCGCCGCGCGCUCUCUCGCCGCCGGUGUCUGGACGACGAGGAGGUGAGUCCGUACGCCUCGCCUCUGUGUUGUUCUUCGUGUUCGCUGCUUCGGUUCGUCGUGUUGUGAUGUGAUGGCGUGUUGGAUGAUGUGUGUAACAGCUAAUUUGGUGCGGGUUUUUUGGGCGUGGUGGUGGUGGUGGUGGUGGUGGGGUGAUUUGCAGGGCGGGUGGCGGCGGGGGAUGGAUCGCUGGGAGGCGUUGAUCGCCGCCGCCGCGCGGCGGAGCGAGCCGCCGAGAAGCGGGUGGGCGGAGUGGGGCGGGGGCGGCGACGCUCGCGCGGGCGCGGCCGCGCUUCCGUCUCGCUGUCCCCGUCGUCCCGUGGCUGCUGCGGGUGGGAGAGGCGAGGGGGGUGAUAGAAUGCGGGGGCGAGGCGGGGAGGAAGGGACGUGGACGGCUCAUGGUGGAGGCGGACGAGGUGCGGAGCGCGCGGGCGCGGUGGUGGCGCCGACGAGGACAGCGGACGCGGCGGGGACGGGGACGGGGAGGAACGCGGUGGCCGUCGGCGGUGGCGCGGCGGAGGAUGGUAGGAGAACGCCCUCUGUUUCUGUUCGUCACGUCCUCUGCUUGGGUUUCGUCGAAUGCCUGGGAUGCGUGACUGUUAAUUUGGUCCUCUUUGUGUGUUCAGUGGUGGUGAUUGUAUCAGGGCGGCGAUCGGUGGGCGAGCCGACGCUGGACGUCUCUGAGAUGCUGCUCCAGGCGGCGCAGGCAUGGAGAAGCCGGCGCACGCAGCGGGAAGCUCGCCCGGACGCGCUUCCACCUCGCCAUCCUCCUCGUCCCGUCGCCGCGGAUGGGCGCGGGGGCUCAGGCGAGGGGACCAGUAGAGCGCGGGGGCGCGGCGAGGAGGGGACGGCUCGUGGCGGAGAUGGCGAGAUGAUGGCGCUGGUGAGAACAGUGGAUGUGGCCGUGGCCGGUGGUUUGGCCACGCUCACGCACGGCGGCGAGCGGGAUGCUGGCGCGGCGGUGGCGACGGAGGAGAAGAGAAAUGGCGGCGAGGUGGGGACGAAGAGGGGGAUGGAGGAGCGGGCCGCGCGUUCGCCGCCGCCGCCCAAGCGGAGCGCGGUGUCCUCCGUUCGCCAGCUUCCUCCAGGUUGCGGAAGGGACGCCGCUCUUCCACUCGGGCGCCGCCACGGCCGCGGCCGCGAUGGCGACGGUGGUGUUCCUCCUCUCGCUGGCAACAGAACUGAUUUGCCGUUGGAAGCUGUGGUGGAUGGUGGUGAUCCAAUUGCAAAUGUGCAUCAAAUCUUCAGCAAAUCUUCGCAUGCUACGGAUGAGAAUCAGGUCGCUUGCAAAGUUGGUUCACUGGAGGAUGUUGUACAAGAAGGGGCAGCAAAUAGUGGUGAAUUGCUGGGGUGGAAGCAAGUGUUAGCUCAAGCCGCGAAUGUGCUUCCCAAGAGGAGGAUGGUAUCCGCGACGCGCCGCUUCCCUCCUGGAUGUGGGAGGGACGUUAAGACUGGUUCAGGUUUGGAAUUCAUGGCUGUUGAUGCUUCUUGUGGUGGUGUGUCAAAGGAGGUGGUGGCUUCGGAUGGCGGUGAUAGUUUGGUUAGCCAGGAAUUGGAGGAGGGUGAGGUGGCUGAUGAGGCAUACUCUGAUGUAGAUUCACAAAAUGUUGCUGUGGAUGAUUCCAUGGCUGCAGCUACUGAAGAUGUUAAGGUGAUGAACAAAUGCAAAGGGACCUUACCCAGAGCCGCUGCUGAACCUUGUGCUGAGGGUCCUUCCAAAGAACAUUUUAAGGGUACGAGGGAGUGUGAAAAUGAUAGGAUGGGAAAAUCAUCCAUGAAUGUUGCAACAGAAGUAUUUGGUGAUGGUAUGAUGAGAAGUAAGAUACUAUUGACAGCUAGAAAAGCAGUCAAGUCACCACUGAACACUCUGCAUAGAUGGCCCUUCUCUAAGGGAAAAGAGGAGUGUGCUGUAACAAAUAGUGCUCCAUUUGGUCCUAAGAAGAAGUUUAAGGUAAAAGGUGCAUAUCAAACUAAAGAUAUUCCUAUCAAGAUUGUCUCUACACCUGGAUUAGGGGGCAAGGACAACCUUGUCGACAAAGAGGCUUUGAUCUUGGAAGAUGAUGAUAUUUUGAAGGCACUAGCUGUUCAUGAUGGAAAACUUAAGUUGUAUCUCAAUGCUUCCUCAUCUGUUCAGCGUCACGGGCAACAUGGAAGUGGGAAUGCUAAUGAUAGGAGGAAAACCAUGAUGCUGUGCAGGAGGUUUCAGUUUAUACACAGGGCUCUUGUACAUGCUGUCAAACAGGGCUCGUUGAAGGUUCUAAGAGCUGACCUUGAAGCUGAUAAAAUCGUUCGGAAAUUGCCGGGCUUUAUCAAACCUGGACCUAUUGUGGGAAAUGUUCGUGGAGUCGAAGUCGGUGACGAAUUUCUAUACAGAGUUGAGCUAGCCCUUGUUGGUCUCCACCGUCCAUACCAGGGAGGAAUCGAUACCACCGAUCAUAAUGGAGUGCUUGUUGCAAUAAGCAUCGUUGCUUCUGGAGGUUAUCCCGAUAGAUUGUCAAGUUCAGGUGAACUCAUAUACACUGGUUCUGGAGGACAGCCUGCUGGUAAGAAGAAAGGUGAGGAUCAAAAGCUAGAGAGGGGAAAUCUUGCCUUGAAGAAUUGCAUCAAGACAAAGACACCUGUCCGAGUGAUUCAUGGAUUCAAAGGCCAAAAUGGCAAGGAUGACAGUUAUUCAAGGGCUAAACAAAUCUCAGCAUUUACUUAUGAUGGGUUGUAUCGUGUGGUGGAUUACUGGAGAGAAGGUCUAAAAGGUUCUAUGGUCUUCAAAUACAGACUACAAAGAAUUCAUGCUGGUCGAUGAGGUUGAUCAUCUAAAUCUUUUCUAGUAAGCUUAUUAUUUAGUCUUAACAAAUGAUUCAGGCAGUAAAUGGUACAAUGAGAUUCUUUUCUACACCAUGGAUACUUACGCCAAUCUAAACUCUCUUGCUUGUUAGGUACAGAAUCAAGAUGUAUUUUUUUUGUCCUGGGUGAUAUAAUUAGCUUAGAAGGACAAGAAGUUACAUGGGCCUGGUUGAAGGUAUGUUAUAGUUGCAGGGUAUCUAAAGGGGACAUUUUACUGUACCCCUAUUGGUUAUGGUAGUAGUGUAGUAGGAAGCAGAUCAUCUAAAGCUAUGGCUAUUUUAGUCAUGUACUUCGUUAAGGUGAAGGGGCAAUUUAGUCUUCCGAUUAUCCCAAUCGAAGCAAAACAGGACUCGUUGGUUUGUUAGAUCGGCCCAAGCCUCAUUCUGCAUCUCGACGCACGACGGCCAAACCACAGCGCCGUCCAUAUUUGUAUGCAUUUUCCAGAGGUAUCUUUGCGAUAACAACCAUGCAAUCUUAGAUAUAUUUGUGAAAAGAAAAAAGUGCAUGCAUUGGAAUAUAACCGUUUCUUGCCUUGUGCAAAAGCUACCACUUCUCCUUCAGUGUGUACUUGGAUCAUAGAAGGUGACACCUUCAAAAUGCACCAGACAAGAUGCCAGUAACAAGAACAUGAGUAUGUGGAUUGGAUUGUCAAUCACCAAAACCCCUGAAUUCAGCUGUGCACCACAGCUGCCGUGGGUUAGCUCGUAUAAGAGUGUGCCCAAAUAUGAAAAUCACACUCAUGAAAAUCAAAAUCAUUUCUAUUAACAAGAUGCAGUAAAAUCAUGACAACAUCCUGAAGAAAAUUUGGUUAGCUGAUAGAAGUCAUAGAACAAAAUGUAUUUCAAAAUAUAUUCCAUCACUGAUUUCAAUUUCAGGAGCCCAAUUUUUGUACUAACUAUUUAACUGUAGGAAAGCUUACUAUAAACCAAUGAAAAAAAGAAAGCAUUAUAUGAUGACUUGUCUGAAUUACAGAAUAUGUGGCGUAGUUGUCCACUUACAAAUGAAUUCAUCAACUAAUUGAUCUCAAGGUUAUUCCAGAUUGUAGAUAGGAGCACAUCUCAAGCUUCAAUUAAAAAUCCAUCCAAAAUACGAAUUGAAGGACAAAAGUGACCAGAAUUAGGAAUGCAUACUCUAAUACUCUAUUCUCAGGAGUCAGGACAGUUAGAUAACCUGCUGGCUGUUGUGCUGGUAGCCUUGGCAUUUUCACCUUCACGUGUCAAUAAAAAAGAGUAAAUAUGACUUUCGUGGAGAAUUGCUUGAGUACAGUGUACACUGGAUGGGAUCACCUAUACAUUUGUCGACAAAUUCUCUUCUAAAAAUUUGACAAAUGAAAUUAUAGGACAAUUGUGAUGUAGGCUGUGUUUAGUUUACACCAAAAUUGGAAGUUUGGUUGAAAUUGGAACGAUGUGACGAAAAAGUUAGAAGUUUGUGUGUGUAAAGUUUUGAUGUGAUAGAAAAGUUGGAAGUUUGAAGAAUUAUUUUGGAACUAAACACGGUGGUAAUUUCACUGUAACUAUUAUAACUUGUAUGUAACUUUUAAAAGUUUCUUCGUAGUAUACUAUUUCGGUGAAACGGAAGUCGUGGGAACGAAUCCUCUGACAUAUGUGUGUGUUAUUUUUUUCCUUCCUCACUUGCACAAAUCUUGAAACAAAUCUAACGGUCCAAAAUUAUGUGAAAGUUAUGUAUAAGUUAGACUGUAGUUACAUGCAAGUUACAGUAUAAUUACAUGUAAGUUACAUUAUAAUUACAUUACGAUUGUUCUGUAUUACAUCUGCCAAAUUUUUAGGAGAAAAUUUAUCGACAAAUGUAUAGCAAAAUUGUUUUGUAAUAUAUUGAUUAGAAAAUUCUCAAUCUCACUCUUCAUAGUAUGGUUUUGAAUCUCAAGGGUGAUGUUUUCCGGUGGCGAAAAUGGGCGUGAAGUGUCGCUCGAACUCCUGGAAGGGGUGAGAGUCGAAGCACUAGAACACAUGCGCAAGUACACGGAAGGCACUUCGGCAACCUAUAACAAGAAGGUUCGACCGAUAGAACUCCGGCCCGGCCAUCUCGUACUAUCCUAACCUAUAUUUUUCCUUCAAAUUUAAAAUCGGGUAUAGGUAGUGCCGGAUCGGAUAACAUGUCACUUGUGCCGUAUCACAUUCCAUAUUAAUUUCUCGAAAUCGGAUACAUGAAAGAAUUUCUAUGUGCAAUUCAUGCAUAUUAAAUAUAGAGGGGCAAUUAAAGUACCAAAAGAGAUAAAGCAAGAAAACAUUUAUGUAAUAUUACCUAUGAUAUUAUAAACUAGUGUAAUCAAUAUUUUAUCAUGUUUGUAGGUGAACUUAUAACAGAUUUUCAUAUAUGUAUAAUAAUAAUAUGGGAAUACGAGUGGACACAACUUUUCCCUUAUUAAAACAUAUCUUUUACGAAUUUGGAUUCGAACUUGGAUAGUAUCGAAUAUCCAUUUUCUCUCCCAUGUUCUUGUGAGCCUCAGGCCAGGCAGGUGGUCGGAAAAUGCCCGUCCCAUUUUCGCCCGUAGUAAGAACUAGAAAAAAAAAUCUGAAUUUACCCCUGAACUAUUGACACCAUCCGAGUAACCCCAUAAAUUACAAAACCAGACAUAUCUACGCCCCUAAACUUUUCAAACCAGACAACAAAACCCCUAACUCAAUCCGAAGCGGUUUGGAUUUUAGGUGACAUACAUGUGUUAGUCCAAACAACAAAAAGUAAUAAAAAAAUAGUGGGCUCGGUCAGUCUCCCUCCUCGCUUUCGUCCACUUCCAUCUCUCUCUCUCUACCCCCAAGUCCUAACAGAAAGGAGGGAGGUGGCGGAAGCUCAGCUGCCGGAGGAAGACCGUGGCAAAGGAGGCGUCCUCGGGCAUCGAGGUGCAUCAUGACCUCCCGUGGAGGCGGCGGAGGCGCUAGCUAGCACAGAGCACUUGACGACUUUGGUCUUGCAUCGAUGCCUCGACGCACGCGCGACUGCUUCUAGGAUAGAUGGUGAUGUGCUCGAAAAUGGCUCACCAAAGCCAUGAUCUUGAUCACUUGGUGGAUCUGGAAGGAGCACAUUGUGCGUAUCUUCGGCAGAGUUCAGCGCCAUGGUGUUGCAGACCUAGUCUAGUGUGUGGCGGUAGCUAUUAGCGGUUUAAGAACCUUGAGGCGGUCUUGCUUUAAGCGGUAUGAGAUGGUCUUACCUUGGCAAAACUAGUUUCCUGAGAUUUUAUAUUCUAAAAUCCUUUUAAAAUCUAACAAAAUUUAGACGGCGUCCUUCGACCGCUCAGUGAAAAAAACUAAAAAUUAUGGUCGAAGUUUUAGAAUUGGACCAAAAUUAUCUAAAACAUAACCAAGUGAGUACAAAAUCUAUUAGGAAAACAAGAGGAGUGUUACUAUCCCUAAAUAGUAUGGUCUCCGUUUCAUAUUAUAAGUUGUUUUUAUUUUUUUUCUAGUCAAACACUUUUGGUUUGAUCAACUUUAUAGAAAAAUAUAGUAACAUCUGCAACACUAAUUUAGUUUAACUAAAUAUAAUAUUAAAUAUAUUUUGGUAAUAUGUUUGUCUUGCGUAAACUGGAUCAAACUUAAACGACUAAGAGCAGGUACAAUAACAGACUAUAAGCCAGCUAUAAAUAUAUUUUAAGGAGAUAAAAGAGGAAAGAUAAGAGCAGCGGGCUACAGAUUUAUAGCUAGCUACAACACAGACUCCAAGACACAUGUGUGUAUGAUAGAUGAGACCAUAUAUUGAUUGUGUAGUAUAUGUUUAUAUGUACUUCCUCCGUUUCAGGUUAUAAGAUAUUUUGAUUUUGGCCAAAGUCAAAUAGCUUUAAGUUUAACCAAAUUUGUAGAAAAAGGUAGUAACAUUUUUAACACAAGACAAAUUUAUUAUGAAAAUAUAUUCAAUUAUUGAUUUGAUGAAACUAAUUUAAUAUUAUAAAUAUUAUUAUAUUUUCUAUAAACUUAAUGAAACUUAAAAUAAUUUGACUUUAACCAAAGUUAAAACGUUUUAUAAUCUAAAACGGAGGGAUUAACUAUUGUAUAAAUUGGCUAUUAAGUUAAUUAUUAAUGAUUUAGAGCCAAUAGUUUACUAUACCAUUAAACUUGCACUAAUGAUAUCAUGAAAUGAAACGGCGGGAGUAGCAGCAGCCGUUUCAGCAGCUACCAUCGUAGAACAGCAUCAUUGCCACAAUAAUGCCCACUACCAGUCUACUAAUUUACGCCGCAGUAAAUACUCCUACUCCAAUGCAAACCUCACCGGUACUAUAUAAAACGAGAAGGCGCCAGGCGGGUUGCAAGCAAACACACGACCCACCCGUCGUUGGGUCAGCCACGUGCACCGCGACCGAGCCGGACCAGUUUGGUCUCGGACAGUCGGACCCGAGUCAACCUUCAGCCUCUGGUGCGGCGUCCGCCCGCCACGUGUCCUCGCCUCACCAAUCAUCACCCAUCCUUCUCUUCUCGGCCCCACCAACUCUCUCUCUCUCUCUCUCUCUCGCUGCUCGCGCAAAAACCCCAACUGCGUCGCCGUGCUCGCCGCCUCGCCGCCUCGGCCUCGCCGCGCGCUCUCUCGCCGCCGGUGUCUGGACGACGAGGAGGUGAGUCCGUACGCCUCGCCUCUGUGUUGUUCUUCGUGUUCGCUGCUUCGGUUCGUCGUGUUGUGAUGUGAUGGCGUGUUGGAUGAUGUGUGUAACGGCUAAUUUGGUGCGGGUUUUUUGGGCUUGGUGGUGGUGGUGGUGGUGAUUUGCAGGGCGGGUGGCGGCGGGGGAUGGAUCGCUGGGAGGCGUUGAUCGCCGCCGCCGCGCGGCGGAGCGAGCCGCCGAGAAGCGGGUGGGCGGAGUGGGGCGGGGGCGGGGGCGGCGACGCUCGCGCGACGGCGAUUCCGUCUCGCUGUCCUCCUCGUCCUCGUCCCGUGGCUGCGGGUGGGCGAGGCGGGGGGGGGGGGGGGGCGGUAGAAUGCGGGGGCGAGGUGGGGAGGAGGGGACGUGGAAGAGUCAUGGUGGAGGGGGACGAGGUGCGGAGCGCGCGGGCGCGGUGGUGGCGCCGCCGAGGGCAGCGGACGCGGCGGGGACGGGGACGGGGACGGGGAGGAACGCGGUGGCCGUCAACGGUGGUGCGGCGGAGGAUGGUAGGAGGACGCCUCUGUUUCUGUUCGUCACCUCCUCUGCUUGGGUUUCGUCGAAUGCCUGGGAUGCGUGACUGUUAAUUUGGUCCUCUUUGUGUUCAGUGGUGGUGAUUGCAUCAGGGCGGCGAUCGGUGGGCGAGCCGACGCUGGACGUCUCGGAGAUGCUGCUCCAGGCGGCGGAGACAUGGAGAAGCCGGCGCACGCAGCGCGAAGCCCGCCCGGACGCGCUUCCACCUCGUCCCGUCGCCGCGGAUGGGCGAGGCGGCUCAGGCGAGGGGACCAGUAGAGCGCGGGGGCGCGGCGAGGAGGGGAUGACUCAAGUGGCCGUGGCCGGUGGUUUGGCCACGCUCACGCACGGCGGCGAGCGGGAUCCUGGCGCGGCGGUGGCGACGGAGGAGAAGAGAAAUGGCGGCGAGGUGGGGACGAAGAAGGGGUUGGAGGAGCGGGCCGCGCGUUCGCCGCCGCCGCUGCCGCCGCCCAAGCGGAGGGCGGUGUCGGCCGUUCGCCAGUUUCCUCCAGGUUGCGGAAGGGACGCCGCUGUUCCACUCGGGCGCCGCCACGGCCGCGGCCGCAAUGCCGACGGUGGUGUUCGUCCGUUGGAUCAGGCGACUGCUCCUCCUCUCGCUGGCAGCAAAACUGAUUUGCCGUUGGAAGCUGUGGUGGAUGGUGGUGAUCCAAUUGCAAAUGUGCAUCAAAUCUUCACAUGCUUCGGAUGAGAAUCAGGUCGCUCACAAACUUGGUUCACUGAAAAACGGUGUACAAGAAGGGGCAGCAAAUAGUGGUGAAUUGCUGGGGAGGAAGCAAGUGAUGGCUCAAGCCGCGAAUGUGCUUCCAAAGAGGAGGAUGGUACCCGUGACGCGCUGCUUCCCUCCUGGAUGUGGGAGGGACGUUAAGACUGGUUCAGGUUUGGAAUUCAUGGCUGUUGAUGCUUCUUGUGGUGGUGUGUCAAAGGAGGUGGUGGCUUCGGAUGGCGGUGAUAGUUUGGUUAGCCAGGAAUUGGAGGAGGGUGAGGUGGCUGAGGAGGCAUACUCUGAUGUAGAUUCACAAAAUGUUGCUGUGGAUGAUUCCAUGGCUGCAGCUACUGAAGAUGUUAAGGUGAUGAACAAAUGCAAAGGGACCUUACCCAGAGCCGCUGCUGAACCUUGUGCUGAGGGUCCUUCCAAAGAACAUUUUAAGGGUACGAGGGAGUGUGAAAAUGAUAGGAUGGGAAAAUCAUCCAUGAAUGUUGCAACAGAAGUAUUUGGUGAUUGUAUGAUGAGAAGUAAGAUACCAUUGAUAGCUAGAAAAGCAGUCAAGUCACCACUGAACAUUCUGCAUAGACGUCCCUUCUCUAAGGGAAAAGAGGAGUGUGUUGUAACAAAUAGUGCUCCAUGUGGUCCUAAGAAGAAGUUGAAGGUAAAAGGUGCAUAUCAAACUAAAGAUAUUCCUAUCAAGAUUGUCUCUACACCUGGAUUAGGGGGCAAGGACAACCUUGUCGACAAAGAGGCUUUGAUCUUGGAAGAUGAUGAUAUUUUGAAGGCACUAGCUGUUCAUGAUGGAACACUUAAGUUGUAUCUCAAUGCUUCCUCAUCUGUGCAGCAUCACGGGCAACAUGGAAGUGGGAAUGCUGAUGAUAGGAGGAAAACCAUGAUGCUGUGCAGGAGGUUUCAGUUUAUACGCCAGGCUCUUGUACAAGCUGUCAAACAGGGCUCGUUGAAGGUUCUAAGAGCUGACCUUGAAGCUGAUAAAAUCGUUCGGAAAUUGCCGAGCUUUAUCAAACCUGGACCUAUUGUGGGAAAUGUUCGUGUUGUCGAAGUUGGUGACGAAUUUCUAUACAGAGUUUAGCUAGCCCUUGUUGGUCUCCACCGUCCAUACCAGGGAGGAAUCGAUACCGCCGAUCAUAAUGGAGUGCUUGUUGCUAUAAGCAUCGUUGCUUCUGGAGGUUAUCCUGAUAGAUUGUCAAGUUCAGGUGAACUAAUAUACACUGGUUCUGGAGGACAGCCUACUGGUAAGAAGAAAAGUGAGGAUCAAAAGCUAGAGAGGGGAAAUCUUGCCUUGAAGAAUUGCAUCAAGACAAAGACACCUGUCCGAGUGAUCCAUGGAUUCAAAGGUCAAAAUGGCAAGGAUGACAGUUAUUCAAGGGCUAAACAAAUCUCAGCAUUUACUUAUGACGGGUUGUAUCAUGUGGUGGAUUACUGGAGAGAAGGUCUAAAAGGUUCUAUGGUCUUCAAAUACAGACUACAAAGAAUUCAUGCUUAUAGAUGAGGUCGAUCGUCUAAAUCUUUUCUAGUUUGCUUAUUGUUAAGUCUUAACAAAUGAUUCAGACGGUAAAUGGUAGAAUGAUAUUCUUUUCUACACCAUGGAUGCUUACGCCAAUCUAAACUCUCUUGCUUGUUAGGUACAGAAUCAAGAUGUAUUUUUUGUCCUGGGUGGUAUAAUUAGCUUAGAAGGACGAGAAGUGGCAUGGGCCUGGUUGAAGGUAUGUUAUAGUUGUGGGGUAAUCUAAAGGGGACAUUUUACUGUACCCCUACUUGUUAUGGUAGUAGUGUAGUUGGAAGCAGAUCUUAGUCCUUUACUUCGUUAUAAGGUGGAGGGGCAAUUUAGUCUGUUCCGAUUAUCCCAAUCGAAGCAAAACAAGCCUUGUUGGUUUGUUAGAUCAGCCCAAGCCUCAUUCUACCUCUCGACGCACGAUGGCCACGCCACAGCGCGUCCAUAUUUUUAUGCAUUUUUCAGAGAUACCUUUGGGAUAACAACCAUGUAAUGUUAGAUACAUUUGUAAAAAAAAGAAGUGCAUGCAUUGGAAUAUAACCGUUUCUUGCCUUGUGCAAAAGUUACCACUUUUUCCUGCAGUGUGAUUGGAUCAUAGAAUGUGACACAUUCAAAAUGCACCAGUUUUGUUUGUAGCAGUAUUCAGAUCAAUCAUGGAUCGCUGAUACGUGAGAUCAAGCAAAUAGACAAGAUGCCAGUAACAAGAACAUGAUAUGGAUUGGAUUGUCAAUCACCACAACCCCUGAAUUCAGCUGUGCACCACAGCUGCCGUGGGUUAGCCCGUAUAAGAGUGUGCCCAAAUAACAACAGCAAGCCAAUACAACUAAUUUUGGUAAAUAACCUAAUCAAAUAACUAUAGGCCUAAAACAGGUCCACCCACACUCCCACAGGAUGUCAGGAUUAUCAUGUGUUUUAGCAAUUUAUCUUCCAGGGACUGAAUUGGCACAAAACUGAACAAGAACAAAACAUAUAGGAUGUGAGAAUUAACAUGUGUUCUGUACUUCAUUUUUCAAGGACAGAACAAGUGCAAUAAUAAAUAAGAACACCAUUUUUUCUUCUAGCUUGAUGACUGAUAAUUCUCAAAGGCAAUGCAUUUUUAUCUUCAUGAUGAUAAACCAACUGUUUCAUUUGAAAAGUGACAAAUAAAUUGCUUUCAGCUUCAUGAACUCUUCUGGUCUUCCUCCAUAUCACCUUCACCAUACAUUAAAUAAAAUUAGAGUGGACAAACUGCUAAUCCAAAAGUACUGUAUAUACAAGAUCCUCAAGGUCAAGUCACACUCCUGAAAGUAAAAAUCAUUUCUGUUAACAAGAUGCAGUAAAAUCAUGGCAACAUCCUGAAGAAAACUUGGCUAGCUGAUAGAAGUCAUUGAACAAAAUGUAUUUCAAAAUAUAUUCCAUCACUGAUUUCAAUUUCAGCAGCCCAAUAUUUUUACUAACUAUUUAACUGCAGGAAAGCGUACUAUAAACCACUGAAAAAGGAAAGCAUUAUAUGAUGACUUAUCUGAAUUACAGAAUAUGUGGCGUAGUUGUCCACUUACAAAUGAAUUCAUCAACUAAUUGAUGAAAAAUCCAUCCAAAAUACGAAUUAGGACAAAAUUGACCAGAAUUAGCGGACAUCGAGGACAAAUAAUAAAAAGGAAUGCAUACUCUACUCUCAGGAGUUAGGAUAGUUAGAUAACCUGCUGGCUGUUGUGCUGGUAACGUUGGCAUUUUCACCUUCAUGUAGGAUCGAAUAGAAAGAACUAAGCCAACCAAAGAGAGUGAGUAAAUGGUUAGUAUACCUAAAAACCCAAACUUUUUGCGGAAUUAAAAGUUACUCUCAAAUCGAUGUAGAUCGGUCUGACCGAAGUUGAUCCGCCGGUCUAACCGGUGUAGAUCUCCCAGUUGGACCGCCCUGAAAUCGCCUCUGUCUCCUGAAGCCGUCGCCGGUCUGACCGCCGUAUACCCGCCAGUUUGACCGCCGCGAUGCCACCGGUCUGACCGCCGGUGUCUCGCCGGUUAGACCGCCGAACCUGAGCAAACACAAAUCAAAGAAUUCUCGAAGUAGAUGACAACUUUAUUACUUCUCUCUGUGUUUACAAAGUGCAACAACAGCACUCCUCACGAAAAUCUUGGCUAAAUUCGAAACCCUAACUCAACUCUCAACUCAAUGCUCUUAAAAGCGAUACCGGGAAGCCUCACGCUCCCUCUCUAUUUAUACAUGAAGUAGGCAGCCUAAAGCCACUAAUCAAACUCAUACUAGAAGUCCUAAUCCACCUAACCUUCCCGUACAAGAAACAAACUUUACAAACUCCAAUCAUACCAAAUUUGGACUCCUUCAAAAUUCAACUCCGUAUCCCAUACGCACACAAUAUCUCCAUUGUAUGCCAUAUGGAAUCUUCACCAACCAUGUGUAUUGAUCUUUAGCCUAAGUAUUCCACAUGAUAUCUGACUGUCCGGACGUCAUCUUAUCUCCAAGUCGACUCCCGAUCCAUCACCGGCAAUACUCUCCUGAGGCAUCAAGUCACCUACACAUGAAUCAAACAAAGAAACCAUAUUCCAAUACCAAGCUAUCUCCAAUUUGACUCAUUGUUAGCAAACAACAGUAUUACAUACGCAUAGUAUCCAUCUAGAAGCCAUAAACAAGAAACAAUCACGGAUAUCCAAACAAACAACCUGAAACCGAAGCCGACACAGAGUCGGCCGGUCAGACCGCGGGCUGGCUGGUCUGACCGGCAACCACUGCCCGGUCUGACCGGACCAACUAUCCAGCAGCACCUGUAAAUCCAAUCAUCUCCAAAACCACUUUGCCAAUAAUCUCCAAAUAUCAAAACCGAUAAUCACAGAUGCCAAUUGUUCAUCACAGAAUAAAGAAUCAAAAACACUUUGAUUUUACACUUCACAUGUUAAUAAAUAAGAAUAAAUGUGAAUUCCGUGGAGAAUUGCUUGAGUACAGCGUAUACUGAAUGAAGUAAAAUACAUGAGUUAACUUUGUAACCCCCCCCCCCCUCCCCCCCUCUUCUCCUCCCACGCCCAUUUUCUGUCGAAGUAAAUCCACCAGUGGAUGUACUGUAACCUCCACAAUUCUAAGCACAGAAUUAUGCCACCACGGGUCCAAAGGUAUGAUGCAAUUUUAGAAAUUUAAUGUGGCGCAGAAUACAAUAGGUCUAUCCAAAAUCUGUAUAGAGGAGGGCUCAUAAGCAGAUACAUGUUAGGAUAGGGAAUUACAAUGUAUGUUGUCAUCAGAAUGCAUCAGCAUGGUAACUAUAUUAUCUACCAUCCCCAAAGUAGCAAACAUUUAUAGGGAUGAUAACACGGAUACAGUCUGGAUAGUUCAACUUUGUGUAAUAUCUUGGUUAGAAUAUUCUCAAUCUCACUCUUCGUAGUGUGGUUUUGAAUCCGAUUCCCUCAGGUGAAGUUUCAAUUAAUCAGUCAAUAAGAGUAGUAUAUUUGAUUAUUGGCUUUCACACACAUCAAACAAAUCAACAAUAAUAGAGUGGCACAUCAAAUAAAUCUUGUAGAAGAACAGAAGAUUGAGGGCUUCGAAGUGUUGUGAGGGCUUCGAAGUUCAAUCAUUCCACCAAAUGCCAAUACAUAUUAAGUGUCCAUAUCAAUAUGAAUAAAUUAUUUAGAAUUUACACAUAGCUAUGUCAAAUCAAAUUUGUUAAAGUUCAUGAUUUGAAUUUGAAAAAUACAUGGUAUAGCUCUGUGUAAAUUUCAAAUAAUUCACUCAUAUUAUUUAGGAGAAGAACACACCCUUAGCUGGUAGAUCCUAGCUUUGUUCCCUCCCUGUUCACCUUAUAGGAUCGAACACAAAAAAACCAAGCCUACCAGAGAGGGAUGAAUGGUACGAAUAUCAAGAACAAAAACUUUUAGCGGAAACAAAAGUUUAUCCUCUAACCUGAUGAAGUCCUUGGCAUAGCCGGUCUAACCACUGUAUGCACACCGGUUAGACCGCUCAUCUACGUUGGUUGUCUCAUGCCAGCAAUAGAAGCAGAGUCAGCUCCCCCUACCUAUGCUAUUGCCUCCUCCUCGACCUCCCUGCAUCAUCCCCACCUCUCAUCCCACAUGAGCAUCAUCGUUUUUUGUCAAGCCGAGCAGCAUCGCUACCUCCUUGCCGAGCCGAACUAUGUCGCCCGCCUUCUCUCUUGGCCUCUCCUUAUCAAUGCCACUACCUCUCUAUCGAGACAAGCUGCUCUACUGCCUCUAGGUCUAGUCCUGAUCUGCGUACCUAGUGAUCUCGAGCUCAGAAGAUUCCAAACUCAACGUCGUUUGGCUUGACUUCAUUGCAUUCUUCCUAGCACCACAUCAGUUUUGACCUCGCCCACCUCCUCCCAAAACUCCAUGGGCAGCAACAACAGAGAGAGAGAGAGGCAAGGAGAACUGAUCUUUGUAGUCAGAACACCGUCGAGGCAAGUCUUCGUCACUAGAGAAUUGAAGAAAAGCCAAGGUAGUGGUGGAGAAGAGGGCAGGGCAACGUUGUCCUAGAGACACUAAAAAUCCCAAGUUCACCUGUCUUGUUUAACUAGGGAAGGCUGGAAAGGCAUAUAUUAGAGAGUCAAAAUAGAAAGUUUAUUGGAGCACAAGAAUGAGGGAAUCUUUUGGCAUGGAUGGUUAAAUGGAGAUUUGGAUAGCCAAAUUUGAUAUCUCUUGGAGAUGAUGACUGUUAUCUCACUUAGAAGAUAGUAUAUGCAAUAUGUUAGCUCUAGGUGCAAGUAAUUUUAUUUUAUUCAUUUUAAACUACUCUUUUUCUUUCCUUCCCUUUUUUUAUGCAUAAGUCAUCAACCUCUCCUUCAGUAAAAUAUAUUUAUCUAAAAUGUUCUACACCUACAAUUACGUUGAUAACUAGCCAUUAUGCAACUAAAAUAGGGGCAACUCCUUACAUGUCACCAAGCAUGUAUAGUUAGUUUUUAGUGCCUUGAAAGGAAUUUAUCAAACCAUGAGUGGCAAAUCAAUUGUGCUCAGAAGCCUCAAUAAACUUCUGCUGAUCUGCACUCUAGGAAGCUAAUGGUUGAUCUGUAUACUUCCUGCAUUUCAUCCACAACAUCUGUUUGGCAUGUGGUAAUUAAGAAAAACAAAUAAUCCAAUUAGGUGCAAUCAGCACAAGUACCAAUAAAAAGACCAUAUCAAGAGAACUUCAACAUCCUUUUGUGCUGCAGAUCACUUGGACAAGAUCCAUUCUUUUCUUUUCCCGGUGACGAUCAAGAUCUGCUGAAAAAGCUGAAUUAAAAGAAAGGCAAUCAAGCAGCACAGGAAGUAAUAAUUUGACACUACUAAGCUGAAUAAAGAAAGGUAAUCAGCACACGAAGUAAUAAUUUGACACUAUUCAUUUUUUUCAUUCAUUCACACGCUCUGAGCACAUUAUCCUCAAUCCUGCUGCCUUUUUCUUCUCUCUUUCCUCUUUUUCAUGUUCAGAUCUGCAUUCUGAUUUGAUGACAUACGAAAUGUGAAUCUUCUGACAUCUAGCAUAUGGGGUGGAAUGGUAAAACAGAAUUUGAGGAAAAUAUGGACGGGCACACGGCACUACGUCAAACUGGUUGGCAACUUGUGAUCAUCUGAACAAUUGCAACAAGAGUACAUUGCAAAAUCAUGGUCUCUGCUGCCAUUAUUCCAUUAUUUUGCAAUGAUCUAAAUAUAGACGACAAGAUGAACCCGUAUAUGCCAUAUCCAGGUGUGAUAUAAAAGGAAUAUAAAAGGAAGCUGUACACAUUUGCUGAUACUGUACUAAAAUAGGCGUUCUGAAUUCACACUGCACAUCAAUCAGAUCCAGAUCAAGAAAGACCAUAAAGAAACCAAAUUAAAACUGGAUCCUUCAGCUUUGCAGGAGUCAGCGUGACCUUGUAUUCCUUGUUUGUUUAGAUCAAACAUUAUUUCAUUAAAUUCGAAUUGUUACAAUACUCUCUAGAGAAAGUUCACUUGUAAACUAAUUGAUACAUAGCAUUUGUAGAAAAAUAUGACCGUAUUGUUGGAGCCAAACCGCGGAAAAAGUAGUACAGUUCUCAGGAGACUAAUAAAUCUAACUUGAGAAGAAGAGAAACCUCAGCAUAUCUCAAUUAUCACAUUUGAUUCAUGUCAGCUUGAAAACUAUGCAGAACGAGCCGUAGCUUCAGACCCAGUGGACUCAUCAGGCCUGAUGAGCACAAAACUUUGGUUAGUAGUUGAUUAUAUGGAGAAAAAAAAAGCAAUGAAGAAUUAGGGAUAGGUCAAAUUAAACUGAAGUCGGAUGAGAAAAUUAGCAAGAACCAUAAAGUAAAAUCGCAAACAAUUGAUAUCUAAAAGAACAUAUUGCUUUUUUUAUGGGCCAUCAGUUUGUUUAGUGCAUCUGCUGUUAAAGGACAGGAAGGUUUAUAGUGCAUAUGCACAACUGCAAAAAAUUAAUCAGAUAAAAUUACCAUCCACCCCCACCAAAACCCAAAAAAUGCUCAAUCCAUUGUUGCUGUGACAAAUAUAUUGUACCUUUGAAACUCCUUCGCCAACUUCCAUCCUAGCAAAAUUGCCAACUGUAACUUUUGAGCCAACUUCCUUUGACAAAUCAUUCAGGACGCUCUGAAAAUGUUGACAUCAAGAAGCAAAACCAUUAUGUACCAUGAAUUCACAAUUCAAACUAGUACUACAUAAUUAAAAAAAAGGAAAAGGUUUUAUCAGUUCACCUUGAUGUUUGUGCUGUCAUUGACAACAUAUUUUUGCUCCAAAAGCACAACUUCUUCAAAAUACUUUCUUAGUCGGCCUUCCACCAUUUUCUCCAUGGCCAUUUGGGAUUUUCCAGAGCUUUCAGCCUAAAAAGUUUCAGAGUAGUGUGUCACUAAAUCUUAAAUAACUUGAAUGCAGUUCAGUCAUAUUCCAGAUGGAUGUAGCCCAUGUGUCUCCAGAAGAUGACAAAAGAUAUUGCUAUUUAAUUCAUGGAAAAAUAAACAUAAUUGGUAUCAUAAACUUCUAAUAUACGGAUUCACAUUGUGUUCCAUUGCAUAGCUCAUCUCUGAAUUCUAACAGCCCAGCUGUCUUGCUUACAUAAACAUAAAACAAUGUGACAGGAAUACUAAUUGAGAAAAUUCUAUUGUGAGUCAACAGUUUCCUUUCAUUUUCUUUUAGUUAUAAUGAGUUAGGACUUAUCACAAGAUAUGCAUUUUUCUCUCAACUAUAGGUCAUUAUUGCCUAUGUAUGUUUUUCUGUUAAGAUAACAUCAGAACACUUGGUAUGGUAUGACCUUAUGAUACCUGAUAUCUCUAUGUAAAGCACACGCCCAUUUCUUCAAUUGUAAGCUAAUCAUAUAGAAUUACAGUGAUGCUAAAUUUUUCCGGUGCAAAGGAAGUAACAUUUAUCAGAAUAACGUACCUGAGUCCGGAGUAUGUCCCUCUCAUUUUCAACAGCUGAAGCAGAGACCAGUUCUUUUGAUAAAAACAACGGCUUUGUCGCAACGAUGUGCAUUGCAAUAGAUUUCCCGACUCUCUGAAGAGCAUCAAGAGGAGCAUUGCUGUCUUCUGCCUCUAGUGUGAUCAAGCCAGCAAGACGACCCAAACCUUAUUUCAGAAAAAAAAGAAAAAGCUUAUUCAUUCAGUGAACGAGAAAUUGCACCAUUUACCAUAUAUCAAUACAACUUCAUACUUCUGAAGAACAUAAAAUAUGGAUUGCUGUUAGGAAUCAAAUUAAUAAUGCGAGCAAGCUUGGCCAGCUCAGUGUAAGAGGCAAGUAUCACUAAAGUCGUAUUACUAUCAAUGGUUUUACAAAUGAGCUUGCAUCCUACUAAAUAAAUAAAUAAAUAAGAAGCUAAAAUUCAUCACUGGACAACCCUAAGAGAAUAGAUUAACUAUAAUUUAGAUUAAGGAAGGUAAUGUCCAGAAAGUCCAACAAAUUUAGAUUUCUGAACCCACUGCCACCCCACCCCCCGGCACAAAAAAAAAAGGAAAAUAAAUAAAGGCAAGGACAAGUAUGAUCCAUGCUCAGUAGUCACUAGAAAACUUUCAUUUGGUUAUGUGCACUCAAACUUAGCCAAGAAGAUUGGAAAACAUGCAUGCUACAUUCUUGAUAAAAGCCAAAGGGCAGAGAUUUGUGCAUGUACCUGGCUGGGGACAUGUGUGCAUAUAAGAGCAAACAACACCAUGUGCAGUUGUGGACAUAAUGAAACCUCUUCUGAAUUUGACAUUCUCCCCAACCAUGGCAGCAACUUCUGUGACAGCACUUUGGACUGUUGUCUCCCCACUAAGUUUAGGAUGAUCAAGAUUGACAUUAAGGUUCUGCAUGAUUGAGAGUUUGAGACAACUUUAUAAUAUCUACUUACACAUGGAAAAAACCAGGAAAAGAAGAUAAACAUAUCAUAUGAAGCUAACCAAAUCAUAUCAUGGGAACAGCAACAGACAUUACUGUGUGCACAGGAUAAGAAGCUGUGCCCUCUGUGCAAAGGGCACAGGAAGUGAGAGAGAGAGAGAGAUCCUGGGCUCGCACAUCAACGUGGCUUUUCUCUGAGAGCAUGGCUCUAGUGGAGGGAGAUAGUGCGCAACAGUUAUUCUAAGGGGGGGCUGUAGAAUAAGCCUACCCAAACUAAAUAUCUGAUAAGCACUAAAAUCUUCAUGUAGUUUAAAAAAGCAGGAUAUAUAUACAUAUUUACAAUGGCUACAAUAUCUACAAUGUGGUUGUUAAUGCUGGUAUUGCAAACAUGUUCAUUUGUAUCAUGAUCAUCUCCACAUAGCAUCCUCUGUAAUACUAGAGCCAAGUCACAUUUAUCAUGGCAUUUCCAGUCCACUGCCAUGAAGUUCUUGUGUCACAUAUGACUAAAUGGUUGAGCCAUUUUAACUUGUUUCCUUUUAUAUCCAACAUAAACAGUGUGCUAAAAAUCAGCUGUAGGUAGCAAUUCGGUGCCAGGCGGCAGCUUGGCACUGCGAUUAGCACUUUGGCGGUGAGCUCGGCAGCUGCCCCACCUCAAUAGUCAUCCUCGGUCCAACUCAGACUAGUUGUGGCAGCAAGUAUGCAGUGAAGAGGGCGACUAGUGGCCUAGGCGGCUCAGUACAGGCGAGGAUAUAAGUACCUCCCCACCCUAGCUGCCCAACCUAAUCCCCAAAUUGGAGCACGUGCAACAGCGGCUAGGGUUUGGGAGAGGCGAUGGCGAUUGAGGUCGCCAUAGACGUUGCCGCCGCCACCGUAGUUAGAUCCACUGGCAGCUCGCCUGCUCUGCUGCGACUCCUACUGCUCCGCUGCGACUUCUACUGCUCCAUCGUCCCUCUGUUCUCCCCGCCAGGCACUCACCACCAUCUACCAUCUCCACGCCACCAGCCGCUUGGACAUAUGCACCAGCACACCAGCACAGUGCACAAUUAUGGCCAACACUGAGGAAUUGAGCAAGUAAGCCAUGCUCUUUGGCCUUUGCUGUGCUACAGUCUAUUCUCUAGUAUCUAUAUACUGCUCUGUUCUUGUGUGCUCUGCUACUCUACUCUACACUAUCAGAUAUUCUUCCACAAUUUGCUUGUCUUUGCUGUGUGGGUGCGGCUGGUGGUGGUGGUAAAUUGGUGUUGCUUGCUGCCUUGAUGGAAAGCUUGUACUUGCUUGCUUGCUUUGCUUCUUGCUGCACCUGCUUUCUGUGGUGGACUGGAUUCGAAACUGCUUUUUCGCGGCUAGUCGUGCGCACCCUCCCCCGCGUCGCGCAAAGAGGAGGGCGGCAGACAGCCAUGCUUUUCCUUUUUUUUUUCCUUUUCCUGUUUCUUUCCUUUUUUUUCUGUUUCUUUUUCACUUUUUCGGGUUUUUUUUUUCGGUUUGUUAUACAAACUAUGUAUACACAUAUACUAAGUUUGUAUACAUGUAUAUUUUUUCCUUUUUUAUACAUACGUAUAUAAACUUUGUAUACGUAUGUAUACAAAGUUUGUAUAUUUUGUAUACGUUGUAUACAAACUUUGUAUACAUGUAUACAUAUUUUUUAUACAUCAAAAGUGUAUGCGUAUACAUAUAAAAAAUGUAGGGUAUAUAUACAAAGUUUACACAUAUUUUAUCGUCUAUAUACGUAUGUAUAUAUACCUCAUAUACAUGCGUAUAAACUUUGUAUUGUGGUAUAUAUACAAACGUAUAAAUACUGAGACUAGAUGGGUAGCGCUGGUCGCGCGGGUGUGCCGGCGCGCGACCAAUCGCGUAUCAACCAUCCCCGACUGGAUUGGCUUGGGGGUGGUGGUGGUCGUGGUGGUGAUUUAGUCAGGUGGAUGGCUGGAUGCUCUUGCAGCUGUGUGGUGGGUGUUACAUAAAUAUGAUCACAAGUAUCUUAAUAUCUCUAUCAGUACAGCACACUGAAUCCAUACUAUUUGAAAAGGUAGUGUGUAGUGGGCUUAAAUACAGAUACACCAUUAUUGAAAAGAUAACAUGAGAUUGAUCACAGCACCUGUUAAAGUAGAAUUUUACAUGAAAUGGAACUUAAUGAAGACUUAGAUCAGUUGGUUUCAAAUUUGUAAAAUGACGAGUCAAUCAAUUACUGGUAAAAUUGGUGGUGCUUCUAUAAAUUACACAAUAAAUGCGCCAUAACCCAAAUUAAUAUAUGGAUAACUUCAUACCUCCAAAUAGUCAGGACCAAAAGGAAAAACCAAUUCACCAGGAUCCCUUGCUGAUAAAGCCAACUUUGCUAAAGAAGAAGCCUGCAAGUUUGAUGAGAUAUAAAAAAAAAUCAUAAAUCAAGUUUAACUACCUUGAAACCACGCACAAGCACAAGCUGAACAAUCAAGGCAGUUAAAUAAGUAUGCUGUUGUGAUGUCUAAGAUAGGGAAAAGAAUAUCCUACAAGAUACACAGCUAUCAAAGAAGUUCAAGAGUACAACUGCAACAGAGCAUAAUGUCAUAAUGUUGAAAUACUCAAAUAAAACCUACAAAAGAAACUGAAAGUUAAAACAUGGACAAAAUGAUUCUGUUCAUAUUUUGAUAUGCCACAACCAACAAGCUAUACCUACAUGCUCAAAUACACUAUAUGUUUAGCAUGCACAAAAAGUAGGCAUCAGGAAUGGCAUAAAGAUACUGAGAUAAAAACUAACCAGAUACUGGAAAACAUCAUUUCUUGCCACAAAAUCCGUCUCACAGUUAAGCUCAACCACAGCGGCCCUUUUCUCAUCUUGUGCAAUAGCAAGCAAACCUUCAGCUGCAGUCCGUGAAGACUUUUUGGCAGCAAGAACCACCCCUCUCUUCCUUAGGUCCUUCUGUGCAACAUCUGAAAGAAAUCAACAAACUGUCAAUAGGAUUAACAGAUACAAACAAGUAUGCCGAUGAAGUAAUGCUAAUGCAAUCAGAAAUAAGCACAAACCAAUAUCCCAGUUGCAACUAACUAAGGAAGCCUUCACAUCUUUGAUUGGAGCGCUCGUCCUCUCCCUCAGCUGUUUGAUGAGAUUCAUUUGCUCCGACGCAGGAACUUCGGAGCUGAAUCUCCUGAGAAGUGUGGCGCUUUGAUCGACAUUGCUGCUCGAAAGGUGAGCCUGGAACGCUGAAUAAGAGUAACCCCGAGCAGAAUGUUGUUGGGCGCGAAACAGAAGCCCAAUCAUGGGCUUUCUAGCACUCUGACUCCAGGCCAUUCUCACAAUGUUCUGCAAUGCAGAAUAUGCAGUACUGUUGGUAAACUAAACUAUCAUCAAUAAACAUCAGAAAAGCGAGCUCCACCGAUUAGGUCUCAACUAAAGAAAAGAGAUAUGUCAUCCCAUUUCUGCAACUAGGCAGCGGCGGAUCCAACUUGGCCAAACUUUUUGGGGAACAAACAACAAACUGUUACUUGUAUUAAGGUUAAGGCUCUGAAAUUAAGAGAGGAGCUUCUUCCAGAUCUAGAAGAAGAGCUAGGGUUAACGAACGCAAGCAAAUUCCAGACAAAAGUAGUCCCGGUGGGAGAGAGAGAUGAAUCAGGAUGUGGAUGCUCACCAGGAUCCCCUCCCCUGCUCUGCUCGCCAGAUGGAGAUCGGCGCCCCUCCCCUGUUCAGCAGAGAGAUGACGCAAGGAGCGGAGGAGACGAGACGGGAUACCUCGGCGAGGACGGAGACGGAGACGCGGACGACGGCGGCGGCGGCGGCGGCGGCGGCGGCGACGAGUGGAGCGCAGCCGCAGGGACGGGACAGUGAGGGAGACGAGGGUUUUGGGUUUUCCGUCUCGGAGGGCUGGUUUGUACGUCGAUGGGCCGAGCUUACGUGGGCCUAUUGGGUUGAAGCCCAUUUGGUAAAACUUCGACACAUGUAGGAAUAAGUCUAAUAUGCGUCCCUCAACUCAUGCAUCUGGUUGAAAUGCACCCCUCAACCGCAAAACCAGGUAUAACUUUCCCCUCUUCAUCCCACGUGGCAUCGACAUGGCGUUUACGUGACACUAAAAUAAAAAUAAAAAGAAAAUUUUGGGCCCACGUGUCACAUAUGCGUAACCAUGUAUUUGCCUGCCACCCUUUAGAAAGCCAAGUGCAGAGCACUUGUUAGUUGUUAGUACAAACCUAUCAAGACGGACACCUUAAAUCCCCAUACUGUCAAACAACUCUACGGCUACUCCACCACACCCAAUCUGAGCGUAUCCUUCCACCACACCCAAUCUGAGCGUAUCCUGUGAUAACCGUAUUCCAAGUAGUUGGGCGCCUGGGCCUCCUGUUGGGAGUGCAUGAAACACCAACAUUGCCUCAUCCAUGCUGCGAAGCUUUGCAUACAAGUUGAUAGGCACUACGUUACCUGUAUACGGCAAAAAAAUCACGUAUCCAUAUCGGAUGAUACGGUAUCGGAUACGCUCCGAUAUGUGUCCCGUACGUAUCCAUGAUUUUCACAACUAACAAAUAAAACAAAGUAAAUCUGGAUAUUUCGUGGAUACGCCUUGAUACAUCGCUUGAAAUCGCUGAGCAGUACAAAUCCAUGGCAACCACCAUGUGAGCUGGCUCGAUCUUGUUCACCAUUUGAUGCCCCUACAAGCGCAUGGUUCCUAUGCUGCCGCUGUCGGACGCCAUAGCUCCACCUCUGCUAUUGGGUGUGGCACUGACGGUGUCCCCGUCGUAGCCGGAUGUAAUGCUUCCCCCUCCGCGAGUCGGUUGGCCGCCGUUGGACGUAUUACCUCCACCGCUGAGCGUGGUCCCGCCGCCGCUCGGGCGCUGCUGCUGCCUACUGGGCGCAGUGGGGCCUCCUCCUCAGUGGUCAGGCGCAGCGCCAUAGUUGAACACAACCCAUGCACCGCUGGGUAUUUGCUUAUUGGUUUGUUGCUUCUUUGAUUUGUUUCCAUAAAGUACAGGCGCAUUCGUUUUUUAUGUAGGGUUUGGGAGUAGUAAGGUACGGCUGGUAAUGUUGUUGCAGCCUACAGGCUCACUAACAGUAUUUUAUGAAACAAUCAAGCUUCAUCAUAUUUCUUUUUUUUUGUCAUGGACAUGUGUGGAUCCAUCUUUAUUUGUAUACGGGCGUAUCCCAAAAUUUAUAGUUUAGAAAAUAAAAUUUGUAUAGGUGUAUCUCCGUAUCCAUGUUUUCUGAAAAAUACCGUAUCCCCGUAUCUGGGUAACAUAGGAUAGACGUAGUCCCAACAUAGACAUUAGCAUUCAGGUCCAACUUGACGUCAAUCCCAUUCACUUGCUUACCGAAUAAAACAGCCUUAGAUUGUGUACACGCACGUAGGAGGCCUCCCAGAAGGCAGCGAAGAUGGAAAUCGUAGAGUCAUCGCGCCCGUGCUGUGUGUACAUGGAGAUGACCGAGCCCCAGGAGGCAGGAGACAAGGUUCCGAUGGUGCAUUAGAGCAACUCCAGUGUACGAGUAAAAUCGAACCAUACUUGAAAAACCGAAUACAACACACUACAGCAACCAACUGUUAUAUGUUAGAGCAAAAAUCGACCACAGAAGGAGAGACGAACUCGGCGAUGAAAAGGUAAUUUGCAGUCGUUGGCUGGCUGCACGAGAGAGGGAUGGACGCAUGUGAUUAGAGAUUCUUUUUCUACGUGGGUCCAUGAUCAAUGUCACACAUUGCAGCCAACGAAUCAAAAUUUUGCUCGACCAUGCUUAUUCAACAUUUGAACUAUGACUAAGGUGCCUUAGAUCGAACAGGUGGGUACAGACUCACCCCGUCCCAUUCCCCUAGCUAUCCUUAUCUCUCUCUCUCUCUCUCUCUCUCUCUCUCUCUCUAUAUAUAUAUAUAUAUAUAUAUAUAUAUAUAUAUAUAUAUAUAUAUAUAUAUAUCAGCUAUUCACUUUCCAUUUAUAUUACACAUAGCUUGCACUAAAAGUUGAUUAAACUCAAACUUUAUCGAUCGCUCGAGCCGUCACUUAUAAUAAAUAUGAGUAAAUUGCACCCACGGUGCAACAACUUGGUAGGUGGGUGUAAUUUGGUGUAAUAACUUGAAAAAUGAGCGUUCUAUUACAACAACUUGGCAAGAAGGUGCAAUUUAGUAUAAGAACUUUAUAAGUGAUCGUAUAAAUACAGCAACUUUGCAAGGUAAGUACGAUUUUGAUAUAAUAAAUUAAGAAGUUGUGUGACAACUUAAUUAUUUGGAGCAUUUUUUAUAUAAAUUCAAAUUUUUAAGUAUUUAUUUUGACAAUAUACUAGCGUGGAUUUGUAUAAACAUAUUUAUAUUUUUAUCCUAAUAACUAAUAACUCUAAUAACUAAUAACUGAAAGUUAAUUAAACUGGAUGUAGAAAUUAUUAUAUUUGGUUGAUAUUUGAGAAGGUGAAGAAAACAAAAAAAUUCUUAAAGAAAACUGAAUGUAAAUUGUAUGUGCAAUAUAAUUCUUAAAGAUUAAAUUCAAUAUUAUAAGAUAAUAUCCAUAGGAUUACUAUGUAUUGGCAUAUUGAUAUCGGAAAAAACUCACCUAGCAUAUGCUUAGCCAAAUUGAUUCACCAAAAUACUAAAUUGUCAAGUUCUUGUAUUAGAACGCACCCACUUGUCAAGUUGUUGCACUCGGACAUUCAAUUCUCAAGUUCUUGCACUAUAUCGCACCCACCUGCCGAUAGGGGUGGAAACGAGCCAAGCCGAGCCGAGCUCGGCUUCGUGAAAGCUUGGUCAAGAACAGGCUUGGCUCGGCUCGGCUUGAUAAAUGGAACGAGCAAAAAGUGCAGCUCGGCUUGGCUCAUUUAAAAGCUCGAGCCGGCUUGAGCCAGCUUGAGAGGGUGGCCGAGCGGCACUGGGGAGGGAGGCCGGAGGCAGCGCAGGGGAGGGAGGCGGCGCCGCGGCGGCAUAGGGAGUGUCGAGCCAUUGACCGUCGAGUGUCGCUGGGGAGGGAGGCCGGAGCCGGUGCAGCCGCACAGGGGAGGGAGGCGGCGCAUGGGAGGGCGGGCCGGAGGGAUGUGGCGGGCCGGCGGCACAGGGGAGGGAGGCAGCGAACCGGCGGCACAUAGGGGUGACUGGGGAUGGGGGAGGGAAGCGGCGCCGUGGUGGCGCGGGGAGCGUCGAGCGCCGCUGGUGAGGGAGGCCGGAGCCACGCAGCCGCACAGGGGAAGGAGGCGGCGCAGGGAGGGAAGCGGCGAGCCGGCGGCACAGAGGAGCGACUGGGGACGGGGGAGGAAGGCGGCAAGCCGAUGGGUGGCGGCGCAUGGGAUGGAGCCGAAGGUGGCGGCCGGCAACUCCUCUCGCUAGUGACGCCGGUCGUGCGUGCGUGCGGCGGCGUGCCUGCACCUGCGUGGGAUGGGGAAUGGGGAGGGUCGGACGGAGCAGUUAGGGUAGGGUUCUCUGUUGUUUUUUAUGGGCCAGACUGAGACAACUUGUUAAUGGGCUAGGCUAGGUCAUGUUUUUCACAGGCUUGACGAGCCUACCGAGCGGCUCGUGAGCUAGCUCGGGCUCGGCUCGAUUUGCAAACAAGCUGUGGAGGGAGCUCGGGCUCGGCUCGUUUAGUCUUCGAGCCGAGCCAAGCUCACGAGCCUAAGUUUUUUGUCCACCCCUACCUGCCAAGUUGUUGUACCGUGGGUGCAAUUUACUCUAAACAAAAUAUAAGGUAAUCUACGAUAAUAAAAAUCAGACUAAGCUUAAAUACAUAUUUUUCCCUAAAAAAUAUUCCGCGACUUAUCUGAUUUAAAUAAGAUAAUUGCCAAAAAAAAUCAUCGCGAACUUUCAAUUGUAAUUACAACAUAUAACAACGGUGUAACAUUAUAUAAAUAUAGAGUAUAAAGUUACAUAUUUUAUAAUAUAUUUACAUAUAAAUUAUAUUGUAUUAUAGUAUAGUUAUAUUUCAAAGCUUUCCACUCAAAAAACGUGUCGUAGUUUUUAAUAAUUCCUCAAAUAACACUUCAAUUUAAGCAUGUUGUCGUCUAAUUCUGCCAUGAACACUAACGGCUCGAUCAGAAAAUUAUCGACAACGGUUCCUUUUUAACUACAAACACUUACACGCACGAGUACUUUUCUAACACAGUUAAAAAUUCGAAAAUGCUACACGUACAUCCGAAAUGUCACGCCGUUGUGCAUUUGCUGUUUUACCAUUUAGUCGUACGCCGGUGGGACACCUAGUUAUUGGAACCGACCGGACCGGCGGUUGGAUCGGAAAAAACCGAAACCGGUUCCUUUUUAACUCCAAACACUUACAUCCCGUUAUAACGCACGAGUACUUUUCUAACAUAGUUAAAAAUUCGAAAAUGCUACACAUACAUCCGAAAUGUCACGCCGUUAUGCAUUUGCUGUUUUGCCGUUUAGUCGUACGCCGGUCUAGUCCAGCUAAAAGACCGGUUGUGCAAUCAGCCUGGUAUAUACCGGUUGGGCCGCCCGAUCUGCAUUGUGCGUGGUCACCUUCGCAGCUGGAGAGGGAAAAGGGUGGGAUUCGAUCCCAGGACCUCAUGUAUAAAAGUAAACCAACCAACCACUAGAUUACGAUAUACCUUGUGUUUUGAAGGGAUAAACAAUAUAUUUACAUUAGAUUGAACCGCUUCAAACCAGUGGUUCAACACUUUAACCAGUUGAACCAAUAAAUCAUUGAAUUGAGAGCAUCGCUGGUUUAAUGACCGGUCCGGUCUUAAUAAUUAUUAUGAUGUGACAAAGAACAUCGGAUGCAUAGCGGGGUUCUUAAAAAUUACUCAUGCGUCAACAACGCGGUUGCAAGAAACCGUUGGCUCACGCCACCCGCGCCGCGCUGCGACCCAGCCUCCGUUCGAGCUGCGUGCGCGUGCACCGCCACCGAGCCGAACCAGCUGUCGCCUGUCGCCGGGCUCGGACCCGAGUCAAGCGAGUCAAGCCUUCCGGUGCGGCUGCGGCUGGCCUCGCGUACGGCCGCCACGUGGCCUCGCCGUAUCAAUCACGAGAAGGGGAGAAAAGUGGGGCGUUGCCCAGAAACCCCAGCUGCUUGCUCGCCGCGCGCUCUCUUCUCGCCGCCUCGGCCUCGCCGCCGUGGCCGCCGGUGCCUGGACGAGGAGGAGGUGAGGGCGUACGCUUCGGCCGGUCCGCCGGCCGCGCCGCGCCGCGCCUCUGUUUGUUCUCUGCUUGGGCUCGCCGUGUUGGCGUGUGGAUGUGUAACGGCUAAUUUGGUUCGGUUUUUGUGCUUGGUGGUGGUGGUGAUUGCAGGGCUGGAUCGCUGGGAGAUGUUGAGCAGCGGCGCGCGGUGGCAGCCGCGGCGAAGCGGAUGGGCGGAGUGGGGCGGCGACGCUCGCCCGGCUCGCUCUCCUCCUCCUCGUCGUCGUCGUCCCGACGUCGCUGCGGGUUGGCGAGGCGAGGGGACCAGUAGAGUGCGGGGGCGCGGGGAGAAGGGAACGACUCAUGGUGGAGCGGAAGGCGAGGGCGCGGUGGUGGCGCCGGUGAGAACAGCGGACGCGGUGCCGGCGAGAAAUGCGGUGGCCGUCGCCGGUGGUUUGGCCACGCGCGGCGUCGAGCGGGAUGCUGGCCAGGUGGUGGCGAGAGAGGAGAAGAGACAUGGCGGCGAGUUGGGGACCAAGAGAGGAUUGGAGGAGCGGGCCGCGCGUUCGCCGCCGCCGCCGCCGCCGCCCAAGCGGAGGGCGGUGUCCGCUAUUCGCCAGUUUCCCCCAGGUUGCGGAAGGGACGCUGCUGCUCCAGUCGCCCGCGGCCGCGGUUGUGAUGGUGGUGUUCGUCUGUUGGAUGAGGCAACCGCUGCUCCUCUCGCUGGCAGCAAAGAUGAUUCUGCUGUUCCGGGUGUGGUGGAGAAGGUGGCGUCUGUAGAUGGUGGCGAUUCAAUGGCGAAUGCGCAUCAUCAUCAUCAUGCUAUGAUGGACACGGUCUUGAUGAAAUCUUCACAUGUUUCGGAUGAGAAUCAGGUCGCUCGCAAAGUUGGUUCACUGGAAAAUGGCGCAGAAGGGUCAGCGAGGGGAAAGGGAGGACACGGCGGUGAAUUGCUGGGAAGGAAGGAAGUGUUGGCUCAAGCCGCGAAUUUGCUUCCCAAGAGGAGGAUUGUAUCUGCGACGCGCCGCUUCCCUCCUGGGUGUGGGAGGGACGCUGUGGCUCCACUUGCUCACAGAGAAGAGAGUAAGGUAGGUUCAAGUUUGGAAGCCAUGCCUGUUGAUGCUGGUUGGGGUGUGUCAAAGGAGGUGGUGACUACGGAUGGCCGUAAUAAUUCGGUUAACCAGUGUGCCUCGAACAUUGUCGGAACAGUAAAGUGCCAGGAAUUGGAGGAGGGUGAGGUAGCUGCUGAGGCAUGCUGUGAUGUGGAGUCACAAAAAGUUGCUGGUCAUGGAGAAAAACUUGAAAGUGCUGUUCCUGUAACUUCUGCUGUUACUGAAGUUUUGACAAGGUGUGGUUCUGAUGAGAUGGAAGGGUGUAGUUAUGCUGCGGAGGCAACUGAAAAACACUUGUCAAUGGGUGGUAAAUGUUCAAUUGGUGGUCCUUUCAAUGAAAUUGUCCACGGCAAGAGAGUGUUGGGGAGUGAUGGCAUUAAAAGGGAAGUUCCUAGUCUUGCAAUGGAAGAUCAUGGCAGCAUUGCUCAUGACCAAGAACUGGUGGAGGUUGAGUUAACUACAGGGGACCAUAUUCAGGAGGCUCAAGUUGCUACCACUGUUAACCCACAUGAGUCUACAAUUAGUAGACAUGAGGCAGCUGUUUCAGCAAAUACUGCUCCAGAAGUUUCUAUUAGGCAUUUUUCUAGUGUGAAGAACGGAAACACAUCACAGCAUGAGGAGACGAUAUAUGCAUCUGCAGCUGCUGACGUUGUUAAGGUGAUGAAUAAAUGCAAAGGGACCAAAUCCAAAGCUGCGGCUGAACCUUGGGCUGAAGGUCCUUCCAAAGAACACUUCAAGGCUAAGAGGGAGUGUGAAAAAGAUGGGAUGAAAAAAUCAUCCAUGAAUGUUCCAACAGAAGUAUUUCGUGAUGGUAUCAUGAGAACUAAGUUACUAUUGACAGCUAGAAAAGCAGUCAAGCCACCACUGAAUACUCUGCAUAUACCCUUCUCCAUGGGAAAAGAGGAGUCUGUUGUAACAAAUAGUGCAUCAUUUGGUCCUAAGAAGAAGGUGAAGGUGAAAAGCCCGCAUGAAAGUAAAGGUAUUCCUAUGAAGAUUGUCUCUACAUCUGGAUUGGCGGGCAAGGACAACCUUAUCAAUGAAAAGGCUUUGAGCUUGGAAGAUGAUGAUAUUUUGAAGGCACUAGCUGUUCAUAAUGGAAAGCUAGAGUUGUAUCUCAAUGUUCCCUCAUGCGUUGAGCGUCACAGGCAACAUGGAAGUGAGAAUGGCAAUGAUAGGAGCAAAAUCAGGAUGCUAUGCAGGAGGUUUCAAUUUAUAUGCAACGCUCUUCUACAUGCUGUUGAACAAGGCUCAUUGAUGGUUCGACGAAUUGACCUUGAAGCUGAUAAAAUCAUCAGGAAAUUGCCGGGCUUUACUAAACAUGGACCUACUGUGGGAAAUGUUCGUGGAGUCGAAGUCGGUGACGAAUUUCUGUACAGAGUUGAGCUAGCUCUUGUUGGUCUUCAUCGCCCAUACCAGGGAGGAAUUGAUACCACCGAUCAUAAUGGAGUGCUUGUUGCAAUAAGCAUCGUUGCUUCUGGAGGUUAUCCCGAUGAAUUGUCAAGCUCAGGUGAACUGAUAUAUACUGGUUCUGGAGGAAAGCCUGCUGGUAAGGAGAAACACGAGGAUCAAAAGCUAGGGAGGGGGAACCUUGCCUUGAAAAAUUGCAUCAAGACAAAGACACCUGUCCGAGUGAUUCAUGGAUUCAAAGGUCAAAAUAGAGAGGACGUCAGUCAUUCAAGAGCUAAACAAAUCUUAACAUUUACUUAUGAUGGGUUGUAUCUUGUGUUGGAUUGCUGGAGAGAAGGUCUAAAAGGUUCAAGGGUCUUGAAAUACAAAUUACAAAAGAUUCCUGGACAACCAAAACUUCCUCUGCACAUAGCUAAAUAUCAGAACACUAGGCUGGGAUCCCAAGGAUGGUGAGAACCAUCUUGAUGUAGUGCUUAGAUCAUUGCUCUUGAUUGCCCUUGUCGAACUCGGACAUGAAGAGACUAUAAAUGAGGGAGUUAGGCGGUUCCAUAUCUUCUUAAAAGACAGCAAAACUAACCUUCUUCCACCAGACACUAGAAAAGUUCAGAUUUUUUCUUAACAUACCGCUAUAGUGUCACGUCUUUGGUAUCUAGUGUACUAAUAUAUGUAUUGAUCUGCAGGCUUCAUAUCUUUCUAUGAUGCAGACUGUUACUACCUCCAGCAGAGGUGGUAAUGGUGCUCUCCUUAAAAUCUACAGAGAAACUGCUGAAGCACUGGAGAAGUCAGUCAAGUCACGCAUUUUAGGACUGUGCGUUCUGACUGUCUAGCUUAAGUGACACAGCAGGGAUUUUAUGAUGAGUUGUGUUGUCCUGAAAAGUAAUAUUUCUUCUAUUGUAGGUACAUUGUCUUCAUGCCCAGCUAAGGAUAUUGUUCUUGAGGCACCAAACUUCAUGGUCACUGAUGAGUGAUGAGGUUAAGCUCUAAAUUUCUGAACAAACGAUGAUUCAAGACAGUAAAUGGUGGAAUGAGAUUCUAUUCUACACCAUGGAUACAUAAGCCAGUCUAGUCUCUCUCUUGCUUGCCAGGUACGGAAUCAAGAUGCAUUUUAUGUCCAUGGUGGUAGUAUAUUAGAAGUUUGAGAAGUUGCAUGGGCUGAUUGAAGGUAUGCUAUAGUUUCAGGGUACCUAAAGUGGGUUAUUUAUGUUGCUAUCUGAUAAACAACGCACAGAUUUCUGAUAUUUAUGAACGAAAAAACUAUAAGCACUGUUGUGAUGCUCAAUAUUUUUACUGUUAUGAGGGGUUCAAAGUUCAAGUUCCACCAAAUGCCAAUACAUGUUAGGUGUAUAUAUCAAUACGAGAAUCAAAUUUAGAUUUUACACAGAGCUAUGCCAAAUCAAAUUAUGGUCCUUGAGAAGGUACCAUGAGGUAUCACUUUUUCUAUUGUAAAUUUGGUACCUAGGUACUAUGAGGUAUCAUGAGGUAACAAAAAAAAUAAUGUAAAAUUUGGUACCUCAUUGUACCUCCUUAAGGACCGUAAAAUUGCUCUAAAGUUUAUGGUUUGAAACUAAAAUAGUCAAAAUAAUUAUGAAAUAGGGAAGCUGGAUUAUCAAAAUUCCUUUCUACCGUUCACGCCAAUAUCGAAGUUAGUGCAAUUGUGUGUAUGUUACCCUCCCUGGUUGCAUAAUUAGGUCUCUUUACCCAAAACUGGUGCAAUCAUUUGUUUUGCUCAAUACUACUAUCAUUCAGUCCUGCUCUUUUAGAAAACCAGAGAACAAAUCCAAAAGGUUUUCCCAAGUAACUCUGUGAUAGUUCAGAACAAAAGAAACACAGUACUUCAUAGAAAACGUGGGAAUCAACGUUCUAACAGAUGAAGUGAAGCUGUUUAUGCAGUUGCACCAAAUAGGAGUAUGCUAAUGAGCUUUGUGUACCUACCAGUGCAGCGGUUGUGACUGAGUUAUUUCAUUAUCUAAAAGAGAUUAGAUCAUCACCUCGGUGAGAUGAAAGCUCCAACCCCAUUCAUGACGCUGAAUAGCUCUGCAAUUUAAGGGAAAUCCAGCAUAUCAAAAUGAACGCGACAUAUUUCCACUUACAGAAAAGAUGCCACCUGAAUAAUGCACAUCUUAGAAUGAGCAAAUCAAAGAAGUUACAGUAAUAAGUUCUGUUAUUUUUAACAGGCCUGAUUCUGGAGUUCAGAGCAAGUUGGAUAUCUGUGACCAUGAGUCCCCAUCUAUGCAUGAUGCAGGAAAACCGGUUCAUGUCUUGAAGACCUGGCCAUCAAAUUCACUACUAUCAGACUUCGUCAAUUUCUCGGGUAAGCGAAGUUACCCCCUUUUCUCUCCAUUGCUCUUCCUUCUCAGGCACUAAAUUCACUCCUUCCCUUUUAUGUUUCUAUUUGUUUUCUGCAUGAUCAGGUCACCACGGAGGAGAAAGCUACUGAAUUUUCCGAGUUCUUCGCCGGUGAAGGGUUCAAACCAUCGUUCGAGCGUGUGCUGAAGCAAAGCCUGGAGAGGGUCCGGAUCAGCCCGAGAUGGAUCGAGAGCAUCAGGCCUUGCUCGUACAGUGCAUGAGCUGCAGCAGCAGGAAAUGUAACUUUCUGGGCUAAGCUAGAAGAUUUUACACGCAUGGAAGUUCGUACAAAAAUGUUCUUGGAAAGGUUGUGCGGUUGGGCCAGGUGUGGCCACUACUAAAAAAAACCUAGAUAGGUGCUCAACCGGCACCUAGCAAGCAGGCGGCACAUAUGAGAGAAAUGAAAGGACCGGCACCUUUGAGGUCCCAAAAAUUCAGAAAAAAAACAGCUGUCGAGCCAAUGCAUCGAGGCAUCGAGCUCUCAAUCAUCCAUGAGAUCCCCAUCCAAGAAUACAAGCACACAAUCACGACUAAAACAAACAUCCGCAGACAAAAUCCAUUAACAAAAUCAACGAGAAGCCAUCGCCACCGGGGAGAGUGGAUAUCCGCCGUGGGAGCCUCUGCCACUAGAUCCACCUUUCUGGCAGCGACGACGGGGAUGGCUUCUCCUCCGUCUUCACCCUUAUAUCCCAUCGAUAUAAGGGUGAUACCUUACAAUAUCAGGUAUGGUACACAAGUAUCUAUCUAUCUAUCUUCUAUUAUAUACUAAAAGUCCAUUAAACAUUUUAUAAACGCUCUCAAACCGCCACGUGGCACUACUACAAACGCUCCUAAGUCGCCACAUGGCACUAUCUAAUCUCACCGUUGAUUUUCACUUAAAUUGAUGGAUCCGUUAUUUUACACAAUUAGAUUAGAUCUAUUAUUAGAAAAUAAUAACAUCCUCAUGUUUAUAACAUACAAGCGUACUUAUAAGUUUGUACGUUACAAAUGCCACUGCUGUACUUUCCGUACGUACAAACGUAUAUGAUUGAAAACAAAACUUUCCUAAUCUUUGCUAGAAGAAAAACAAAUACACAUAUACAUAAAAAAGACAUAAAAACAUACAUUCAUAAAAAUCAACGGUAUUUAAAAUAUGACUUUCUACAAUAUAAAGAUAAAAUAUAUUACUUCACAAAUAUAAAUAUAUUCAGUUAAAUUAAGAUCUAUAAUAAAUAUCCAAUCAAUAUUCUUUCAAAGCAUCUUCUAAAUCUAUCUAUUAUAUACUAAAAGUACAUUAGACUUUCUACAAACGCUUUUACACCGCUACGUGGCUCUCUAAUAAUUUAGAGAAAUCAUAAAAAUCUAUUAUAUACUAAAAGUCUACUAAAUGUCCUGCAAACACUCCUACAUUACAUUAUCAUGUGACGCUCUAAUAAAAUAAGAGAAAUCCUAGAAAUUUAGAGUAAAAAAAGAAAACCAUCCAACCUUCAAUUUUCACUUAAAUUAGUGGACCAGUUAUUUUAAACAUUGGAUUAGAGCUUUAAAGAAACGGACGGAUUUCUCAAAAAAAAGGGAUUAUGCUACUAAUCUCUAUCCCGGUAAAAAAAAAGUGGCGUGCUUAAGUCGUACGAUCGUCUCCUUCCCAAGAAAAAAACAAAAUUUAAAUACCUACACCAUAUAUGAUCGAAAAAAGAUAAAGAAAAAAAUAAAAAGAAAGCACGCACACGUACAUAGUAGUAUCGGCAAGAAAUAUUGAUAAAAUCAUCAGUUCAGCACUAAUUUGUUGUCAACAACCUUUAAUCUACGAUUUUAUUAAAAAUAAUACUACAUAGAUAUGCACAGUUAAACUUAAUCGUAAACUUGUUGUAGUGAUAAAUAUAUCAUGGCAAAUGAUACCAACAUGUAAUAGUUAAUGCGAUAAUAAUGUUUCAAAUAAUUUCAUAUGAUAUUUUAUGGUUUCAAAUAUCACUUGACAAAUAUAUAACGUUAAUUUGAAUCUACAUAUGUAAAAAAUUAAAAUAACAAAACCUAGAAUUGUUUUUUAAGUACAUCUAUUUAGGUUUAUUUAAUUUUGGGAGAAAUUGAGAUUCUCAAAGUAUUUGGAAUUUUUCAAAACUUUUCUUAUUUGAGGUGUCAGAAGCACAAUUAAUAGAUUGAUGAGAAAAUUAAAUUAAAUUUUAGCGAGUGGUAAUAAAACAACAUAAUUGAGCUUUGGUUUUUAAGUGGAUCUUUUUAGGUUUAUUUUGGGUGAGAUUGAGAUUCUAAAACUAUCUGAAAUUUUUCAAAACUUUUUUAUUGCUAUUUGAGGAGUGAGAAGCAUACAUGAUAGAUAGAUGUGAAAAAAAAAUAAAUAAAUAAGAUUUUAGACAAUCGUUUUGCUAGAAUACAACCCUUAAUUCAUCACAAGAAUUAUGUAUUUUCUUUGCCAAGUAGUAUUGGCAAAACAUGAAUAAUCCAAUAAAAUACGCAUCAAACUACUUAUGAUAUUUUUUUAUAGUUGAUAGAAAUUCUAAUAUACCAGGUAUAAUUGAUGGACGAAUGUUAUACACCACUGAACCCAUCUAUAAGUGCACUCUAGCAAAUUAGUUAGUGUAAAUAAGUUUGUGAAAUAAGUACAUUCUUAGAAUUAGUAAAUGAGUCUCGUAUAGUUAUAAGCAACAUAUGGUGGAAACAAAUUUGGCGCUAAAGUAUAAAUCUUUAUCAAAAUAUAAAUAAUGAUAUGGUGUUUUGCAGAUUUUCGUGGUGGUACGUCUCUUUAGUUAUAGUUUUUUUUAAGUAGUGUCGAAUGAUUAACCCCAGUCAUUUGAGAAACAUAAUAUUGUAUGUAUUCCAUUAAAAUUUGAGAAGUACUUAUUACUAACUUCAUAUACAUAUUUUAUCUAUUCUCUACCACAAUCGACUCAAAACUUAAAAAAAUUAUUUUCAUCACCUCCUUCUUUCUGUCCCUCUUUGUCCUUCAAUGCAGGGUGCAAUACCUGCUAUGCCAUCAUAAAUUUGCAUGGGCAUGUACAUGGUUGAGUUAAGGUGGUGUCCAUGAAAGGCUAUCAUAGGCAAUGUAACUAAAGUGAUGUACUUACAAAUAUAAUCAAUUGUGAGUGUACCAAUAGUGAACUAAGUAUUAAAAUUGUACUCUACGAUGGUUUUUAGGGGCAUGGCUAUAUCAAUGCGAGACCUGUAUGUUUUAAGGCAUUACAUAUGGAAGCCUUGGUUGGCAGAUACAGCUGACUUCAUACAUUAGAGAGGCAUUCAUGUUUAUUUUUAAUGGUGUUAUCGUAUUAUUCGGUAGAUAUGGUAUAUUUAGCUUAUUUAUACAUAUACGUAAAAAUAAGUGAUGAACGACAGGUUAUGUAGUGUAGAUGAAUUUUUUAAUGUAUUAAUAAUGUAUCGUUUGUUUUAGUGGUACUAAUACAAUUUCAUUUAUUAAAAGUGCACCUAACUCUUAAAACAAUGAUAGUAAGUAGUGAUGACAAACAACCAGUUUAUAUAUGACCAGAAUAAAGGGAUUUUUAUUUAAAUCUAAGAGACACUCUUAUCACAUUAGUAGUAUAUUAAAAUCUAUCAUCUAUUUUAGGGUAAACAUAUUUCUUUUUUAUUGUAGGAUAAUCUAAAUUCUCUUACAGUAUAUAUAUACAUAGUGAUAUAUGAUUCCUUUUAGCACUCCUUUUUUUAAUAAAAAAAAAGAUGCAUGUGCAUCUGUACGAAAUUUCUUUCCGAUUUAUAUUCUGGAAUGUUGUACAGUGUUUGAAACACAAACUAUAAUAUAUGCCCGCGCGAAUGCGCGGGUUACCUUCCUAGUUGACUUCAUAAUAUUUACAAAAUAAAAGGUCUUAUAUACAAAAUAUCGUAAAUAUUUACUGUGCCAGAAAUAGCUAUGUUUUAAAACGGAGAUAGUAUUAAGGUAUAUAUCUCCAUUCCCCAUUGUGUGAAAUCUGAUUUCAUCAACUUAUCGUUCCUUCCUUUAUGGCUUCCUCUCUCGGCGAUGGCAGUGGUCUCCCCUCGACGAUUAUAGCGCUGGUGCUCCACCGUCCUCCCUUGACAUCACUGGCGCCGCCGGUGAUGUUCUCCUCUCGACAGUGACGGCGACAGUGCUCCCUCGUCCUCCCUUGACAUCGUCGGCACCGGCAGUGGUUGCGGCUUCCCAUGUCCUCCCAACCAUUAUAGCGGCGUCAGUGACCCUUGCCUAUGCAUAGCAUUUUCUCUGCAGUAACGCAGAGAAAGGGACUGUUUUGAACAGUAAUUGACUUUGUGUGGACGGUGAGCGCAGCAAUACCUAUAGCAGGCCAAACGGGCGGCCCGGCCCAGCACGACACGGCACGCCGACGGCACGGCCCACUAGGGCACGGCCCGUUAGGCACGGCUCCUAUAGCGGGCCGUGCCGUGCCGGCCCACGUGCCAAGGCCACGGCCCAAGCACGGCCCAAGAAGGUGCUGGGCCGUGCCGGGCCGGCACGGCUACUGUAGUGGCACGUGGGCUGGUAGCCGGCCCACUAGUACAUGUGGCCCAUAAAAAUUGAAAUUUGAGGGGAAAAAAAGAAAAAAGGCAGAAAAAACAUAAUAUAAAGGAAAAAAUGAUAAAUAUAGGAUAAAUGUGAGGAAAAUUUAGGAAAUAUAUCAUAAAAUAUAUGGUACAAAUAGGAUAAAAUGUGGAAAAAAAUAAAAAAUAUGAGAAAUAUAUGGGAAAAAUUAGAAAAUCGUAGGAAAAAUAAAUGGGCCGGUGAGCCGUGCCAUGCCUGGGCCGUGCCGUGCCGGUACGCUACAGUAAACGUGCCGUGCCGUGCCAGCCCACGGGCUGAGGCAUCGGCCCAAACACGGCACGGGAUAACGGGCCGUGCCGGCACGGCCCACAGGCUGGCGUGCCGUGCCGGGCCUGGGCCGGCUACAGUACUGCCGUGCUCGGGCCGGCCCGGCUUGGCACGGCCCAUUUGGCCAGGUUUAGCAAUACCUUAGGAAAAAAGCACUGUUGUAUAGUGAUGAAUUUACUGUUCCAGAAGUAAGUAUUGGUGUUACAGAUAGUGCAUACCUCCUAUACAUGAGUUUAUGACAUACAAAAAUACACAUAUCUAAUAUUAUACAAAAAGUAUAUAAAGCGAGUAAGAAAGGAAACUGCUUUUGCAGGAAUAGAAGACGUAAAAGUUUGGCCCAGAAGAGGCAAGGUUUCCUUUGCCUAUAUCCUAACAGGGUUCUUCGAGUUCUACUUGGAGAAAAAUGUAUCUAGCCGUAUAAAUAUACCCCUCCCAAGAGGAAAGAGCAUUGAAUUGCAAGCCCAAGCCAGAGCCACACUAAAAGAUAGCCAGGAGGAAGAUAAGCCCUAGUGCGGACAUCAUCUCGUCGAGAAUUACUCGACGGAUCCUAGUUGAUGGGUUAGAAUAGCUAACUUGCUCUUCGAUUGUAACUAGUGUGGUACUUUUCCAGAGAUAUACAUAUGAACCGGAGUAGUGUUAUUACUCAUCUUGAUGACCCAAACUAGCAUAAAAGUCAUUGUCCCCGUCUUCUUACUACAAUCUCGUGUAUACCUUGGUACCGAUGACUUCCAUACUCUACAAAUACCAUUCUCGGGUAUAGCCCGUCGAUAGUGUUGUGCAGAUUCAACUAUAGCUAUAGUGAUGAGGAUAUUACUAGCUUGGAUAUGACCAUGAUUACCUUAUAUAUUCAUAAACCAAGUGCAUGCUUUCUAUGUGGGAUUUAAGUGUCAUAUAUUUGAACAAACAUUAUUGCACUAUGAGUUUUGCGUGUUCUCAUUUUCAAAGAUAUUUGCUUGGGUAAAGGAAAAGAGACCGAGUGCGAGAGCCGUGUCUUGUCUUGCACAUACUCGGCUCGGUGAAUGGUUCAUCUUCGAUUGGCAUGGAGCAAGAAAACGGAUUGAAGCAGAGCCAGCACACCUCAGUGAAUAUCAUUAUUUAGGACAAGCACGAAGAGGAAGAGCUUUGUCCUUCGGCCUUGAAUCAGCAUAAAGCCCCUCGCCGAGCCACUUCUUUGACAUUACGUUCGAUUUCAACUUCAUGUUCCUGAGUUGCAGAGAACAAUCCAAAUUGAGGCAAUCUUUCCGGAUUUGCUCCGCCUUACAGCCUUGCUUCCCAUUGUCAUUGCCAUUGUAGCACGUGUGUGGCCCAGCCCAUAAGGGCCAUGCGGACUUGACGUCAUCCCCACCUUCAGAAAUA
RNAcentral lists this long non-coding RNA (73722 nucleotides) under Oryza sativa (Asian cultivated rice). RNAcentral describes it as "long non-coding RNA (OSAT_LNC001518)". The record is from RNAcentral. Lineage: Eukaryota; Viridiplantae; Streptophyta; Magnoliopsida; Poales; Poaceae.